GUAGUGAUCAUGGUGAGGGAACCUGGAUGGCAGUUACUGGCACACACCUUUCAGGUAUAAUUCAACUUUUUUUCCCCUUUUUCUGUUUCCUUGUUCAGGAUGGAUCAUCUUUUGCAAUCAUACUGCUGCUGUUACUGCUAGACUCUUUGCUUUCUUCUUCUAUUCCUCAAACCUACAAACAAUGUUCCUAAUAAGUUGCUCGUAUGUUCCUUACUUGAAGGCUUUACAAAUUGGUGAUCUUGAGAUUCAUAGGACCAAUAUAGUUUUACAAGGAGACUAGAGGUUAAAGCUUUUAUUUCAUUGGAAAAUUUGCAACUGUACAGGAGAAAAAUUUUGGCAACACAAUGUAAGAUUGAACAGAGAGAAACUCAUUAUAUAGCAAAUAAUUCUAUCUCUUACAUUGAUCAAGGCAGCUUUUUGUGGAUAUAAAAAUAAAAAAAUUAAGAAAAACAUUAUUUGUGGAUACAAAAUAAAAAAUUAAGAAAAACAUUAAGCACACUACUGCGAGUACCAUUUAGCUUAAUAGAGAGAUUACAAGUCAGAGUUGAUUCUAAUAUGACAAAGUUACACUAACAAAUGAUUCUAAUAUGACAAAGUUACACUAACAAAUAUAGGAAUGGUUUGUUCCAUAAGAAUAAGUAGGCCUUAAAAGAAGCAUAAUGGAAUGACAGAUAGAGUAGCUGAUUUGUGAUUUUUUGGAAAAAGUUCCUAAUUGAGUUUGAGCUGGUGAAUAGUUGUGAAUCUUUUAGCUCAUUUCUCACCCCUUUCUAGCUUGAUUUUCUGCUACUGUCUCAGAGAUGAAAUGGUACUUUUUUUCAUGGAAGGAACAUUUGCAGUCCUUUCAAAUAUUUUUUCCCCUCCUAUUAAAGUAGAUAUUUUUUCCCCUCUAUUGAAACCAUAAAAAAUUAAUUCAUUUAAGGAGAUUUAUUUUGUGAUACAGUAUUGAGCAGAUAUCUUGUCACUGUAGUUGGAGAACUUGAUAUUCAGGAAGAAUAAAUCAUCUUUUACUCCUGGGAUUGGUUUCACUAGUCAUGUCUUUACCUUGAUGAGGAUGGCAUAAGUCCAAGUUUCAUUCAAUUUAACUUCCUCUGGGUCCUAUACAUUUAAUAAUACAAGAAAAAGUCUUAAUGUUUUCAAUGCAAGAAUUUUUGCUAUUUGCUUAUAUGCUAGAGCUAAGCCAAAACUGAUCAUUUUUCUAUAGACUAUUUACCUUGAGUUGUUGGCUAUUCCUGCUGAAACAUCUAUUGUUGUAUUGAUGGAGAUAUAAGUUUAGCUUUUGGUUGUUCAGAAAUUGUUUGCUAUACAUGGUUCCGAUAUUGUCUGUUUAGGUUUUGCCAGUGUUAUAUAUGUUGAAAUGUGUAGUUGAAGCACCCUGUUCCCCUUCCUCUUUAUACUUUGGUCUGGAUAUUGUCAAUUACCCUCGCGUCAUCUCCAUUUAUCUUGGUACUAUUUCUUUAAGUAAACAAAAAAAAUCAUUUGUCCUGUGAUUUUAAGAGUUUUCAACGGUAGCUAAUUUCAGGGACAUGAGUUGCAAUGCUCCUUUGACCGGGAGGUGGACAAGUAUUUCGUGCCGGCGGGGUCCCGGGUUCCCUACUUGGCCUUUGCAGACAACAUGUUGAUCUUCGCCAGAUUUUCGAGUAAGGGUCUUGAUGCGCUAGCUAAUAUCUUUGGGUACUACCAGUCUUGCUCCGGUCAGAAGAUUAAUGCAGGGAAGAGUUCAUUCCUUAUCUCGAAAUGGGCAACGGAGGAUCAGUGCGCAAUGGUGUCCUCGAAGUUGGGGUUUCAAUGCCAGGGGUUUCCCUUCACCUACUUAGGGGCGCCCCUUGUGCGUGACCGGCCCACUUGUGUGGUGUUUGAUGCAGUGGUCGCAAAUUUGAGAGCAAGAUUGCUGCAUUGGAGUACGCGGCUCCUGUCGCCCGGGAGAAAGUUGGUGCUCUUUCGACACGUCCUUACCUCGAUCCCUAUGUAUGCUCUGCAGGUGUUGCAACCUCCGAAGGCUGUUUUAGCUAAGUUGGAGAAAAUUUGUAACGCCUUCUUGUAGGACAAAUCGACUGAAACUAGGGGUAUUUACUGGAUGACGUGGGAGAAACUCUGUUACCCCGUGGACGAGGGGGGUUGGGGCUAAGGUCCUUCGAAAAUAUGAGUUUAGCCUUCCCUUGUAAGUUGUGGUGGAGGUUGAGGCGGCGGGAGUCUAUCUGGGCAGAAUUUAUGCAUGUUAAAUAUGUACGAGGGAGUCACCCCUCCAUAGUGCAGGUGCAGCGGCUUUCUUGGUCAUGGCGACGACUGGAGAAGGCUAGGGGAUGAGCUGAACAGCAAAUCCGCUGGUGUAUUGGGCGAGGAUUUAUCGACUUUUGGUAUGACCGGUGGAUCCUAGCCUCACCGCUGGCAGACGUUCUGGCACAGGUCGCCCCCCCCCCCCCGCAUAUGUUAGUGGCGGAAUUUUUUGGCGAAGGCAAUUGGAAGAUUGAUAGGUUGAGAGAGUGGGUCCCUGCUUGGGUGAUUCAUCUGGUCCAAGAUAUCCACAUUUAUCCAGACCAGGAGAAUUGCAUGGUUUGGGUGAUUCAUCUGGUCCAAGAUAUCCACAUUUAUCCAGACCAGGAGAAUUGCAUGGUUUGGGUUGGCUUGGCUCGGCGACGAGAGAGUUUUCACUUAAAUCAGCGUGGGCCUCACUGCGCCAGCGCCGGGAACUGUCUCAGGUGGAUCGCGUGGUUUGGAAUGGCUUGGUCCCAUUGAAAGUUUCAUUCUUUGUCUGGCGUCUAGUACAUAAUAUGAUCCCUCUGGAGGUAACACUCAAGAAUAUCGGAUUUCCAAUCCUGUCAUGCUGCUUUUACUGUGGGCAGCACAACGAGUCGUGGCGGCAUCUAUUUAUCACAGUUUCAAUCGCUCUCCAACUCUGGACCCAUUUUAGGGGGCGAUUCGGUAUCCUUCAAUCAACAUUCUCUUUUGUCUCGUCCUUACUGCUUGCCUGGUUUUACUCUAGCUCGGGAGGGACGGUACAACACAUUAGGGUAGUGGUUCCGUUACUUGUGCUCUGGCGCCUAUGAAAAGCUAGAAAUAAUGCUCGGUUUGACAGCUCUAGAUUUGAUGCUGCUACAGUGAUAGUAAUGGUAGAACAAGUGAUGGGUUAGUUGGAUAAAGGAGAGGUGCUCUCGGCCACACACUUUAGGGGUGACACGGACGACUCUUGGGCCGCUCUAACACCCCGGUUCACCCGACGACGGUUUUGUGUGGCAGUCUCAUGGAAACGUCCCCCACCACAUACCUUCAAAUUGAAUACGGAUGCCAGUGUGGUCCAAGGGAGGGCAACCGGGGGUGGUGUCCUCAGAAAUUCCAGUGGUCGGCUAAUGUUCGCCUUUUACAAGGAAUUUGGUGACAAGGUGGUCCUAGUCGCAGAGAGCUUGGCAGUACUUCAUGGUCUUCAAUUAUGCCGGGACCGGCAAAUCCAGUCACUCCUAGUAGAAGUGGACUCCUAGGUAUUGGUCCAGUUGAUCCACUUAGCGAGGAUGUCGAAGUGGCCUUUAUGCAACACGUUGCACCAGAUACGGCACCUUUUAGCCUCGUUGUCAUCUUCUGUAUCCCACAUCUUUCGGGAGGCCAACUCUUCCUCAGAUAGGCUGGCAAAUUGGAGGCGGGGAAUGGAUUGAUUCUGCACGUCUCCGCAGCAGCUGUCAAGUGAGGUACGGGCAACUCUUCUACUGGACGCUAGGGAGGUCCCAUCGGUACGACAGCACUAUGUCAGUCGGUAGCGUCUUAAGGGUUUUGCUAUAGGUAGCAAUCUUUCUCGGCGAUGUACGCUUUACAUUCAUCUUGGAUUUGAAUAAAGUUGGUUCUUGAUUUAAAAAAAAAAAGGUAGCUAAUUUUAGGUUCGGAUACUGGAACAUGGCAUUCAUAUAUUUUUUCCUGACCUUAGUGAAUCGAAGUGUUGUUGACUGGUCUUGACACUAAAUCUGUUCCAUUAUCAUAUCCAUUUAAUAUCUUGUAAUUGCAAUUUUGGAGCCACAAUCAUGUGUUUAAAUACCACCAAUUGGGCGAUAGAAUUGUGGCAUAUAUGGUUGGACAGUUUGUUUAGGUUUGCCUAGUGUUUAUCAUGUUCAAUUACAAAGUUAAAUUACUUGAUUCCCCUUACCAUCAUAUGUUGGUGUAAAGUAUUCCAAUGUAAUUCUUGUUCCCUGGAUUCAUCUACUUUCUACACUCAAGCUAAAUGCAAUCUAUGCUGUAGUUUGACUUUUUUUUCUUAUAACACCUGAUGGGAUAUAGGAUACAAGAAUGUCAUGAAUUUUUUCUAACCUAUGCCAAAAGCAGCCUAGUUGACUGGUAUGAAUCUUCUUUUAUUCUUUCUAAAGUUGCUAUUUUUGGUUUGUUUGUCUACUUGGUCAUAUGAUACCUAAGUAUUGAAGUGUGAUCGGUUCAAACCAAGUUGUUGGUUAACUACUUUUGGAUCUGACAAGAGUAUGGUUCUACUUCAAUUUUAUGUUAAAAACAAUAUAGCAUGAGCCUAAAUACAAACUUUUAGUGAAUCACUCUAUUUUUGAAAAGAAAAGAGACUAAAUAUUGGCUAAGCUGACAAAUAGUUUUCCUUCUACUGUGAAUAGGACAUGGAGAGAAAAGAGAAUAAGCAAAAAAAAAAAAGUCUGAAGGGAGAAAACUAAUACUAGAAAUUGAGUAUUCUAAACUAGCAGAAAGUUUCUUUAUUUCGUUUAUAACUGGAGAGAAGAUAUCUUAAAAUAAUAUGCUUCCUUCUAAUUUGAUCAAUGUAUUGCUGGCUUGACAGUUCUGGCAGUGGAUGCUUACUUCCUAAUUGUGCUGUCUUUCAGUAUAGUGUUAAUGUUAUGAAUCACUUCAGAUAAAAUACUGAGAGUUACUUCCAAUAACACAUUGAGAGGUGCCUCAAACAAGAUACGUGCUGCAAAUAUAUCUGUUAGGAUUAUGUUUUCCAUCAUCGUGGAUUACAUGCAUAUUUGAAUUCCAGUGUGCUACUUUACUUUCUAUAUUUGCUGACCAAUUACAUUAAAUCUGUGGACUGUUUAACUUCUUGGACAGGUGGUUGUUAUUAUAGUAUAUUGCUUAUUAGUGGUUGCAUUUUUUGCUUUUUUUACUCCUUUCCUCGGACGCAAUAUUUGGGAGUAUGCAUUGGUUGCUGGUUAUUCUCCUGUGGUAUGUAACUUUGUUUUGUUUAUGCAUAUUACGUAGUUACAAAACAUGCUCCACUCAAGCAUAUGUUGGGACUUGAAUUGACUGUUUAGGCUACAGAUUUUACUCAUACUGGUAGUGUCGAAAGGCCAAAUUUCUUGCCUAUUUGAAAGAACUAAGACUGACCUCCGUACGUCCUAUUAAGCUUGCAUAUGCCUCAGUGUUUGGCUGUCUUCAUUUGCUAUUGACUGUCAAUGCUUUUAUUAUUUGUACUAUUCCAAAGCGAGCCAUUAAAUUUCCCUCUCCCUCUCCCUCUCUCUCCCUGUCUCUCUCUCAUUUGUUAGAAUUUUAGGGGGUGCUUGGUUCAUGCUUUGGAAUUGGAGCUGGAAUGAAAUAUCUAUGAAAUAAUAAAUAGAAAAUAAUUAUGGAUUUGAAUUAGUGGCAUCAUUCUAAUCACUAGUGCUUGGUAUAGACAUAAUUGGAAUGGGUGUCAAAAUUAAUUUUUAUUUUUUUUGCUGGAUUUCAAAAUUAUUAAUCCCUAUGGAUGAAUUCUAAUCACUUGUGCAUUUAGCAAAUGUCGGAAUUCGUGUCGAAAAACAUGAAUGGCUAUGGACUAAGCCCUAUUCCCUAAAAAAACAAAAAAAAAAGUUGUGAAAGAAAAAAAUGGAAUUGUACCUGCUAAUCCAUGGGUUUAAUGUUGAGAUUUUGGUUAAUAGUUGACCCAUUUACUGAUAAAUGCCGGUUUAAUAUUCUAACUUCUUAGAUUAGUUAACUGUGAACUGGACGAGUCUUUGAUUUUAGAAACUAACCGGAGAAUAAACCUUAAAACGUAGCCACUAAGACUUCACAAGGGUUAAAUGCAUCUUGGCAAUAGAUGAUUUGAGUUGUUAGACUUUAUUUGUUGAAUUGUUGUUCUCAUGUUUGAGGACAAGUAUGGUCUAAAUGUGGGGGGAAUUGAUAGGGUACAAAAUUGCUAUUUAAUUUAUGAUUAUUUUUCCCUUAAUUUUAGCCAAAUAUUAUUUUAAUUGAUAGAUUCUACUUAUAUUUAGUUAAUGGUGCUAAGUGCAGGAAAGGAGCAAAACGUGAUUAGAAGGGGUAAUUUUUCAGUUAAUUUGAUGGUGGCACGUUUGGGGCCGGUUUUCAAGUCCAAAUCAAACUCAGGGCAACUUUUGGAGGAAGAUUUUGAAGACUUUAAUUUUCAUUAUUAGUUUUAGUAUUGGAUGAGAAAAUUUGGAAUAUUAUCUUUAGUAGUUUCCUUUUUCUAUUUUGGAGAACAUGUCUUAUUAUUAGUAGUUGAUGUUAAGUAGGAAACAAGGGGAGAAAAUGACGAACGAACCAGUGUGAUUAAGAGUUCAGCCAGCAACAAUAUCGAGGAGGGGAGGGGUGAUUCUUUGGAACAUAAGAGAGCUAUCACUUGUUUUCUCAAUUCGUCUUGCUUUUCUUUAAUUUUAGAGAAAAACCAUAUGCAAUCAGAUUCAAUGGAGUCUUGCGGAAUUUAUUUUAUGAUGUGUAGUUAAAUCUCCAUUUUCUAGUCAAGGGUCGACUUGAAGUCAAGGUUCCAAAUAUCUGUGAGAUUGAAUUAAUUUUAUUUAUUUCUUUUUUUCGCAAAAAACACUACUUUUAUUGCUCAAUCAAAAACUUACAAGCCGAGUACUGGACCGGUCAUCAAGACGAUCCUUUGAUAGUUCUAAUAGAGGGAAAGCCUAGCAUAUCCAUCCUAACUUCCCCUCUCGCUAGCCGUGGAAGAGAACAGAGGUGGUGAUACACCCUUACAGGAUUUUGCGAAUGCAGGAUACCUACAUUAGCUAAUAUGUCAACCACUUUGUUGGCUUCCCUAAAACAAUGGGAGAACUGUGUAGGAUACGCAACUAACUGCCAUAGUUGAUGCACUUCCCUUUGAAUGUGCCAUGGGCACUGGAACCGCCGCUGUAAUAUACCCACUAGUACCAGCGAAUCUGUCUGCACUCGAACCUGUACAAAACCUCAUUGAAAGCAUAAGCGAAACCCCGUUAAUAGCGCUAAUGCUUCAGCGUGCAAGCUAGUAUUGACCCUCAGGGAAACCGAGAAUGCCACUAACACCCGACCAUUUGACUCCCGUAGUAUUCCACCUCAUCCACUUAUUCCUAGAUUCCUCUUCGAGCACCCAUCCGUAUUCAAGGAUAGGAACCCCCUCCCAACUGCCUGCCACCUGACCAAACGGACCAAGCGUAAUGAAGACUGCUGAGAAAGCCUUUCAAAGAACUGAUCAAAAUUCCGCGCUACAAUCACAUGCUGAAAUUUAACCUCAUCCGCCUUGCUAAUGUCCUGGAGAAUGCCAUAACAAAUCUCCCCACUAGUCAUUUUGACCCCUUCAAAAAUUGCUUUGUUCCGUGCCUUCUAGAUGUGCCAACAGAUGAAACUUGGUAGAAUAGAGACCACAAAACGUCUCUGAGCAUCCGAACGUGCAGACAGCCACCAAGCAACCAAUCUCUCUCGCAGUGAUACUAUAGGUAGACAUAUUCUGCACGAGGAGCCGAAGAUGUCCCAAAGCUCUACCGCUAGUUGUCCCGUUGAGAAAAUGUGGUCAAUAGCUUCCCCAGCCGCCAUGAAGCAACAGAAACAUUUUGAAGGUAAUUGAAAGCCAAAUUUACCCAAUAUAUCAUCCAGCAGUAGCCUCCGCAUCAAUAGACGUAACAUAAAGAAAGAGAUUUUAAGUGGGAGCUGAGGGAACCAAAUGUGGGGGAAUAUCCAAGAGGGGUUCCGAGCUUGCCUUACCUCUUGAUAUUUAUUUCUUUAAUUCAUUGAUAUUUGUAUGUUUUCUGCUUUAAUUUCUCAUGAUUAUUUUAUUGUUUGAAUGUCGAAGGCCCGAUAUUUGAAUUAACUUAAUAAUUUACUACCAGUUUAUAUGAUUAAAUCCGUAAUUGUUUGAUCAAUUAGCAUUAGUGGCAACUAGCGUGAUCGGUCUCAUGUUAGAGAAACGAAUGAUCUAAUUUAAACAAACCCUCGGAGCAUGUUUGUUAAUUAAGGUUGGGUUUCUUUAAUUCUUAAUGCGAUUGAGGAAUUAAAUCUUACGGUCGUACCUAAGGUUGUUCCUUGAUUAGGAAAAUAGUCAACGGUCAUACUUUGACUGUCGAAAAAGUAAGGAAGAGUUGGUUAUCAGAACUUGUUGAUGACUAUAACCAAUCUAUCAGUGAAUAUUUGAAUUAUUUUUGCAUCAGUGAUCUGUUGUCUGAACUGUGGCCAAAAGUUGUACUUUUGGCUGGAGUCACGUCUCCUGUUAAUUUAAUUCUCAUUUAUUGUGUUGUUAAUUUGUUUUUUAGUUAUUUCUGCAAUUUGUUGAUUUCCUAUUUAGUACUCAGGAUUUAGUGAUUAAUUAGGUAUUUUUAAAUUCAUAAAAAAAAAUCCCCCUCGUAAGUUUACUCUAGAAAGGAAUAGAUUUCUCUCCAGUCUCUGUGGAUACGACCCUACUCACCACUAUUUACAAAAUUCUUAUUUUUUUCGAGUAGGUAUUUAUUAUUGUAUAGACUCGACACCUAUCAAUUAUCUUGAUAGAUUAUUUAAAGGAAAACAAAAAAGGGUUACCUGUAGUUAGGGCUUUUGGAUUGUUGUUAGGGCUGCUAGGGUUUGGGGUGAGAAGAUUAUUGUAGGGAAGAUUAUUAUUGGGAGGGAUGGGAUUUUUUAUCACAAAGAAAAUGAAACGGUCGUAUUUGUCAAAUAUGACUGACGGGGUAGUUGCAUUCUCCAAAUAUGACUCUCUCUUAUGCUUGAACCACUUAUCAAUCACUCCCUUUUGGUGGAUAAGAUUUUUUUUAUCGCAACGAAGAAAUUGGUCCAAAUCCCACAUACUACAAAUAAGAAAACUCAAAAAAAGCAAAUUGAUGCAAGUAUGAUAUGAAGUGUUAAUAUACAAUUGAAUUAUUAAGUAUUGAAAAUACGAAAAAAAAAAAAAAGCAAAAUUACAAUACCUCCUCUAGUCCAUCUUCAAGGAAAAACUUUUAGUGGUUGAAAAGUAGAUAUGAGAGAAAAACAAAUAUAGUUCUUGAGAGACCGAACUAAAGAAAACUGAGCAAAUACUUGUGAUUAAGUGAGAAGGGAGAAAAAAAGAUUAUAGAUGGAGAGAAAUCAUAGUCAACUAAUAAGAAAGUGAAUCUAAGGUCCUAUUUGAUAGCCCAAUUCAAUACUUAAAUUUAAUGAAUUCAAAUCUUAAUAUGUUAAGAUUUAUUUGAUAACAAAAAAUUGAAUAUCUGAAUUAAUUAAGGGAUAAUUGCAGAAACCUCCCCUGACUUUUAUAGUAAUAGCAUUGAGCUCCCCUAUUAAUUUUGAAAUAGCACUGACCUCCCCUAUCAAAAGUUGGAGGCAAUUUAAUAGGUAAAAGUGGGUCAAUUUACUAAAGUACCCCUGACAUGAUUUAAUUUUACCAAAUGAAUGUGAUGAGUACUUUCAUCAAACCCAAUAAAACAUUUGUUAAUAAAAAUUACACUAAAUUAACUAUUUCUGCAAAGUUUAACUAAUUAACUAAAUAACUAAUAAUCUAAUUAAUUAAUAACUAAUUAUCUAAUUAACUAUUAACUAAUUAUCUAAUUGUUAAUAGUUAUUAACUAAUCAAACUAUUUCUGCAUAAUUAAACUAAUUAACUAUUAACUAAUUAUCUAAUUAAUUAUUAACUAUUAACUAAUUAACUUAUUUCUGUUUAUCUAAUCAACUAAUAUCUAUUUAUUUAAUUAACUAAUUAUCUAAUUAACUAAAGUUGUUGUCUGUCCGAAACUAAUAAACUAUUUGCAUGUUAAACUAAUUAACUAAUUAGCUGCUUAACUAAUUAACUACCUAAUUAUCUAAUUAAUUAAUUAACUAAUUAACUAAUUUUGUUUAUCUAAUUAACUAAUUAACUAAUUUUGUUUAUCUAAUUAACUAAUUAACUAAUUAUCUAAUUAACAAAAGUUGUUGUCUAUCCGAAACUAACAAACUAUUUGCAUGUUAAACUAAUUAACUAAUUAACUGCUUAACUAAUUAACUAAUUAACUAAAGUUGUUGUCUAUCCUAAACUAACAAACUAUUUGCAUGUUAAACUAAUUAACUAACUAAUUAUUCAAUUAAUUAAUUAACUAAUUUUUGUUUAUCUAAUUAACUAAUUAACUAAUUAUCUAAUUAACCAAUUAACUAAAGUUGUUGUCUAUCCGAAACUAACAAACUAUUUGCAUGUUAAACUAAUUAACUAAUUUCUAUUUAUCUAAUUAACUAAUUAACUAAAACUGUUGUCUGUCCGAAACUAAGAAACUAUUUGCAUGUUAAACUAAUUAACUAAUUUAUUACUUAACUAAUUAACUAACUAAUUAUCUAAUUAAUUAAUUAACUAAUUUCUAUUUAUCUAAUUAACUAAUUAACUAAUUAAUUAAAACUGUUAUCUAUCCGAAACUAACAAACUAUUUGCAUGUUAAACUAAUUAACUAAUUAACUGCUUAACUAAUUAACUAACUAAUUAUCUAAUUAAUUAAUUAACUAAUUAACUAAUUUCUAUUUAUCUAAUUAACUAAUUAACUAAAGCUAUUGUCUGUCCGAAACUAACAAACUAUUUGCAUGUUAAACUAAUUAACUAAUUAACCACUUAACUAAUUAACUAAUUAAUUAGCUAACUAAUUAGCAAACUAUUUGCAUGUGUAAGCCCCGAUGCAACCAAAUACAACCAAAAUACUCAACCAGACAAGUAGUCAAGUAAAUACAAUGACAAAGAAUAUAAGCAAUUUUAAAGCAUAAAAAUAGAGUAACAAUAAAGUAAAAGAGAUUCAAACCAAUCAAACUCCCAAACUUCUUCCAAACUUGGAGUUGAAUCCACCAAAUAGUUUUUUCAAUUGAUGGUAGUGCUAACCAACUUGUACAAGUGAAGGCUCACUCAUUCCUCACCCCAAACAACUUUGGUUGAGCAAAGGAAUUUUACUACUCUCCAAGUAAACCCUCAACUAACUACAAUUGAAAGCUUACCCAUUCAAUUAAGAACUACUUUAUACAAGUGAGGCAACCUUUAUCAAGGUUUUACCACUCCAAGUGAUAGGUUCACCUUCACCAAGGUUUUACUCCUCCUAGAGAGUAACCUUUACUUGAGCAACCUCACAACCCAACUUUCCCAACCCCUUAUACAACCAACAAAUAAUAUUUCUACUCAAAGAUCUCACUUGUAAGCUUGUAUUUAGUGUUGGCAAAAGGUCCGUGUCUUCUUGUGCUUUGGGGUAUAUAUAGAAGGUGAGAAAUGGCUCCAAAAGGCUCUCCAACGGUCAAAUAUUAAAUGCUGUCGAAACUAGCCAUUGGCCUGUCGGACGUCCGAACCAUUUGCUCUGCGUCCGAACCAUGCGUCCGAACCACCUAUCGGACGUCCGAACCAUUUGUUCUGCGUCCGAACCCUGCGUCCGAUAGAAGUCAGAAUGUUCAACGUUCAUUCUUUUUGUGUCGGACGGCCGAAGCAAUGAAUGAGCGUCCGAUCCAAGCGUCCGAAGAGUAUCGUCGUCAGUCGGACGUCCGAUCCUCUAUCGAGCGUCCAAUUCUCUACGUCCGAACCUUCAUAUAUCUUAACUUCUCUUUGAUACAAAUCUUUUCGAUUCUCUUUUGGAUCAAUGACCUGUUCUAACAAAUUUCUCACGUAAAAACAUUAGUCCAAAUCUACAUUUUGGUUUGUUAAUCAUCAAAACCAAUGACUGAUCAACCAAGGUCAACAAUCUCCCCCUUUUUUAUGAUGACAAACAAAAUGAAGAUUUCUUUGAUCAAAUAAGUUCAAAUAAAACUCCCCCUUAGAAAAAUGCCAACAUACAAAGAAAUUUCAAUGAAUCCUACUCCCCCUUUUGGUAUCAAUCAAAACGCAAACUCCCCCUUUAUUUUUCAAAUCAAGACCAUAUAGAAUGUCAAAACUUUCAAAAACCCAAUUGUAAUAAUUUUUUUUUUUUAGGGUUCUUGGGAGUUAGUACAACAUGAUCUAGCAAUCCACAUGGAUUUCAUACCUUUUCUCAUAUUUUUCUUUACAUAACAAUCAUUUUGCAUAUGUCCAAAUUGGCAACAAAAGUGACACAUGAUAGAAGUAUUUUGCACAUAAGCGGAUUUAAUGCAACUAAUUUUCUUACUUCUUAUCAUAGCAAACUUAUUCGUGCCUUGAAAAGAUUUGCUUUCUUUUAUUUGAGAAAACUUUUGUUUUUCAUUUUGGAGAAACUCGUUCAAGUCAUUAAUUCUUUUCUUUAACAAAUUUUGUUCCUUCAAUAUUUUUUCAUAAAACUUUGUUUUCUCUUCCAACUUCCUUUUCAAAUUAUUUUUGCAAUCAAAAACACCUUUUUGAUUUUUUAAAUCAUCAUUUUCCAUUCUCAAACAUUUGUUUUCUUGAAAAAGUUUGAAGUUUUCUUCCAACAAAUCAUUUAUUUUUGUUUUCAAAUCUUUAUUUUUAAGAUUCUCUCAAACUUUUAUGCAUUUUAAUCAUAAGAAUAUGCACAUCAUCAUCUUUAUUAUUUUCAUCAUUAGAAGAGUGAUAAAAAUUUACCUCAUCUUCUCCAAAGGCCAUUAGUGUCAUUUGGGCCAACUCUUCUUUUUCUCUUUUUGAAUUGCAUUCAUCCCAUGUAAUUUUGCAAUCUCCUCUUGAACUUCUCUUGUUGAAGAUCUUCUUGAAACUUUUGAUGUGAGGAGCUAUAUCAUUGUCCACUUCCAUGUUUUCAUUACCCAUGAAGGAUGGGUUAUUCCCCACUUGAGAUGUUUUAAAAGCUAUGCCUCUCUUAUACAUUCUUGCAUUUUCUUCCUCUUGCACUUUGAAUUUCAGCUUUAAUUCAUAAGAGGUUAGGGAAUUCACAAGAGAUUCAAUGGACAUAGAAUUUAAAUCCUUUGCCUCUUCUAUAGCAUUUAUUUUGUUUUCCCAUUCUUUUGGCAAUGCAUUCAAAAUCUUUCUAUUUUUCUCACCCAAAGAAUAUUCUUUUCCAAGCAAUUUAAGAUCUUGAAUAAUGUCACAAAAUCUACUACACAUCUUAUCAACAUUUUCAAGAGGAUGCAUUUUAAAAAAUUCAUAUUGAAAAACAAGCAAGGAUUUCUUUUGUUCUUUAAUAUCUUGGUUACCUUCAUGAAAUACACACAAUUUAUCCCAAAUAUCUUUAGCUGAUUUACAACCUUUAAUCCUACUAGAUUCAUUUACAUCUAAUGCAUUGUACAAUAUAUACAUGGCCUUGGCAUUCAAAGAAAGGUAUCUCUUGUCUUUUUCAUUCAAUUCUUGUCUAGUCUUUAAUCUACUCAAAUUAGUGGUAGAGUCAACUAUUCUAGCUUCAUAAGAACCAUCUUCUACCACAUACCAUAAUUCAAUAUAAAUGGAUUGUAAGAAAAUCAUCAUUCUUUGUUUCCACAUGCUAAAAUGAGAACCAUUAAACAUAGGUGGUCUAUCAAUAGAUUGCCCUUCUAAAAAGGAAACUUUUAUGGUUGCCAUGAUCUUUACACUAAGCGGUUAAACUUAAUCUCUAGGAGACCAAGCUCUCAUGCCAAUUGUAAGCCCCGAUGCAACCAAAUACAACCAAAAUACUCAACCAGACAAGUAGUCAAGUAAAUACAAUGACAAAGAAUAUAAGCAAUUUUAAAGCACAAAAAUAGAGUAACAAUAAAGUAAAAGAGAUUCAAACCAAUCAAACUCCCAAGCUUCUUCCAAACUUGGAGUUGAAUCCACCAAAUAGUUUCUUCAAUUGAUGGUAGUGCUAACCAACUUGUACAAGUGAAGGCUCACUCCUUCCUCACCCCAAACAACUUUGGUUGAGCAAAGGAAUUUUACUACUCUCCAAGCAAACCCUCAACUAACUACAAUUGAAAGCUUACCCAUUCAAUUAAGAACUACUUUAUAUAAGUGAGGCAACCUUUAUCAAGGUUUUACCACUCCAAGUGAUAGGUUCAUCUUCACCAAGGUUUUACUCCUCCUAGAGAGUAACCUUCACUUGAGCAACCUCACAACCCAACUUUCCCAACCCCUUAUACAACCAACAAAGAAUAUUUCUACUCAAAGAUCUCACUUGUAAGCUUGUAUUUAGUGUUGGCAAAAGGUCCGUGUCUUCUUGUGCUUUGGGGUAUAUAUAGAAGGUGAGAAAUGGCUCCAAAAGGCUCUCCAACAGUCAAAUAUUAAAUGCUGUCGAAACUAGCCGUUGGCCUGUCGGACGUCCGAACCAUUUGCUCUGCGUCCGAACCACCUAUCGGACGUCCGAACCAUUUGUUCUGCGUCCGAACCCUACGUCCGAUAGGUGUCAGAAUGUUCAACGUUCAUUCUUUUUGUGUCGGACGGCCAAAGCAACGAAUGAGCGUCCGAUCCAAGCGUCCGAAGAGUAUCGUCGUCAGUCGGACGUCCGAUCCUCUACGUCCGAACCUUCAUAUAUCUUAACUUCUCUUUGAUACAAAUCUUUUCGAUUCUCUUUUGGAUCAAUGACAUGUUCUAACAAAUUUCUCACAUAAAAACAUUAGUCCAAAUCUACAUUUUGGUUUGUUAAUCAUCAAAACCAAGGAUUGAUCAACCAAGGUCAACAGCAUGUUAAACUAAUUAACUAAUUAACUGCUUAACUAAUUAACUAACUAAUUAUCUAAUUAAUUAAUUAACUAAUUAACUAAUUUCUGUUUAUCUAAUUAACUAAUUAACUAAAGCUAUUGUCUGUCCGAAACUAACAAACUAUUUGCAUGUUAAACUAAUUAACUAAUUAACUGCUUAACUAAUUAACUAAUUAAUUAGCUAACUAAUUAACAAACUAUUUGCAUGUUAAACUAUAUGCAGUACGCAUUACGUAUUUAAAGUAUCGGCUUUUAUAGGUAUUUUACUUUCAAACAUUUAAUUUAUGAUAAAAUUAUCAAUGUUUGUAAGUAAAAUUCAAAAAGUGUUACAAAAAAUAUCAAUAUUCUUACUUUCAAACAUUUAAUUUAUGGCCCUAUACCCCUCUCUUUUUGUAAGAAUAUUACUGUAACACUUUUUGAAUUUUACUUACAAAUAUUGAUAUUUUUAUCAUAAAUUAAAUGUUUGAAAGUAAAAUACCCAUAAAGAGCCGAUACUUUAAAUAGAUAAUGCGUACUGCAUAUAGUUUAACAUGCAAAUAGUCUGUUAAUUAGUUUGUUAGUUAAUUAGUUGAUUAGUUAAGCAGUUAAUUAGUUAAUUAGUUUAACAUGCAAAUAGUUUAUUAGUUUCGGACAGACAACAGCUUUAGUUAAUUAGUUAAUUAGUUAAUUAGUUAAGCAGUUAAUUAGAUAAAUAGAAAUUAGUUAAUUAAUUAAUUAGAUAAUUAGAUAAUUAGUUAAUUAGUUAAUAAUUAAUCAGAUAAUUAGUUAAUAGUUAAUUAGUUUAACUAUUAACUAAUUAGAUAAUUAGUUAAGCAAUUGUCAAGUAAAUAAUAAUUGUCAAGCAAGAAGAGGGCAAAAUUGAAAGAAAUUUAUUAUCUCACUUCUACAAAAGCUGUCAAGGAGGUUUCUGCAACAAAUUGUUACUGUUCAGGGGAGGUGAAUGCAAUUUCAAAACCUAGAGGGGAAGUCAAUGCAAAUGUCAGAAAUCUCAGGGGAGGUUUCUGCAAUUAUCCCAUUAAUUAAUUGACACUGAAUUUUUUAAACAAAACUUUCUCCAAAAAAUAAGUGAUCAGCUAUUCGCUUAUCACUUAAUAUGAUAUACACUUAAAUGCAUCAUAUUUAAUAUUUAACAAUUUAAUAAUUUAAUAAUUUAAUAAAUUUAGAUUUUAAAUUUUAGAUUUUAGACUUCAGUUCUAUCAAAUGCACCCUAAUAGUGAAGCUAUUUUUGCUUUAAAAUAGAGAAAAAGAAAAACCAAAAACUUUGCUAGCACAAACAGAAUCAGAAUUUUAAUUUAGGGGAGUCAAACAAUUAAGUACAUGAAAAUUUAGAAAUAGUGUACUAAAGAAAAAUACAACAGUUUUAAGUUCAAAACUUAUAGCAUAGUAAGUGUUUGCUUAUAAUAAGAGAGAAAGUACAAAGCAAAAUAACAAAACAAAAUCAUUAGGAAGCGAAGAAACACCUACAAAUAAUUUUGCAGUAGUUUAUUUCUGGUUUCCAAAUCAAUAUGGAAUCUAACAAAAGCAUAUGGUUAAAAAGCUAAAUCUUUACAAAAUGACAUUAUUAACAUGAAAACCUAUAACUUUCCUCAAGUCUUCUAGCUAGACAAAAUGACAUUAUUAACAUGAAGACUUAUAAUUUUCCUCAAGUCUUCUAAUAGCCAAAAAAGAUAAUUGUGCCUCUAGUAGUUGAUGAAAUAUCUUAUCACAAGAGUUGCACUUUGUUGUUAAAUAACAAGAAUUGUUUUAAUUAAAAAUUAAUAAAGGAUUUAAUAUACAAUAGAGGAAAUUAUAAAGACAAAUAAUAAAAAAAACCUUUCUUUGCAACAAUAUAGUUUUGAGGAUCGAAAAAGAAUCUACACUUGAAAACAAAUUACAAUGGUACAAAAGUUGAUUCUACCAUUUUAUAUUAUAAAAAGGAUAAAUUACACAUAACCUCCUAUAGUUUCAACUGUUUCUACAUGACCUCAUAACAUUUUCAAAUAUCCACUUCACCUCUUAUGGGGCCUGUUUAGAAGGUGAGUUUUUUGGAUGUUUGUAUAAAACUUUACUGUAGAUCACUGUCGAAAUUGUAGAAAAACUUUUGUAAAAUAAAAAGUUUUUUUCCUUUUCAUUUUCUUUUUUCUUUUUUUUCUCUAUCUUUUUUCUUUUCCUUCCUCCCUUCCCGGUUCUUCUUCCUCCCUCUUCCCUCCCCUGUUCCCUCUCCCGGAGACUUCCAUGACAGCAAAUUUCUUUCUGUAUUUUUUUUUUUGCUUUUUUUCUCUUCCAUGGCAGCCACCCCUCCCUCUCUCUCCCCCGCCAUCUCUCUUCUCCCUUUCCCCUUCCCCUUCCUUCCCCCGCCAUCCCUCUCUUUUUUUUUUUUGCUUUUUUUCUCUUCCCCCUCCCUCCCCCGCCACCCUCCCUCUCCCUUCCCUGCCAUCCCUCUUCUCUCUCUCCCUCUUCCUCCCUCCUCCUCUUCCCCUCCACCCUCCCUCACCCCCUUCAUGAUGCGAUCUAGUCGGGCCCCUCCCCUUCCCCUCCACCCUCUCUCACCCCCUUCACGACGCGAUCUGGUCACGCCCCUCCCCUUCCCCUUCCUUCCCCCGCCGCCCCUUCCUUUCCCCUCUCCUCCUUUGCGAUUUGGUCGCGUGACCAGAUCAGUCAAAGGGGGAGGGGGAGGGAGAAAAAAAAAGGAAAAAAUUUUCAGAAGGGCACCAACAUAUUGGUCAAAGGGGGAGGGGAGAGGAGGAGAGGGGGUGAGGGAGAGAGAAAAAAAAAGGGGAAGGCCAAAACUGGCGGUUGGAAUAGUGAUCGGAGCCGGAAACGGUGGUGGAGGUGGUGGCCGGCGGCGGAGGAUGUGGUGGGUUGGGUAGGGGAGGAAAAAGCAAAAAAGUUGAAGGGAAAGUUUUUUGUGUAUUUUUGAAGUGUGUAGGUUAAAAAUUUUGAAUAAGUUUUUUGGGGUUCCUGUAGCAAAAGUUGUUAACAAACUAGUAGGUAAAAAACUUGUUUAAAAACCUGGCUUCCAAACAGGCCCUAUAGUUUCAUGUAAAGUAGGAAGUUGAAGGAAUAGUCUCUAUAACAUUGUUAGUUGAAAUACAAGAUUAGCCUUACUUAAAUACUAAGUUAUAUGAUGGUUUAACCACCUUCUAUAAUACCAUAGAGAGAUUAUGUGGAUAGAUGUCAAAACUACAAGGCAAUAAAGUGGAUAUUCGUGUAAUAAGGAGAUUAAGUGAACAUUAUAUUUCAUGCACAUGCAUUUUUGGAGUGCCUUUGGUUCCAUCGCCAUCAUUGGUGAUGCUUUCAAUCUGUUUUCCACUUUACAUAAAACCAUCGUGUAUUAUAUGAUUAUUUGAAAACGUUAGGGGGUCAUAUGGCAUUAUGCAAAACUACAUGGGAGUCAUAUGUGAUUUACUAGAAAAAGGCAAAUUACAAAUGUAUAAAAGCUGGUCGCCCCAUUUUAUAUUUUAUAAAGCUAAUAUAGUUUCAAUGGUUAAUAUUUUUAAUCAAGUUAACUUUUCUAAGUUGCUGUAGUACAAAUUGAAUUCUUUAAUUUCCUUAUAUCACUAAUAGUUAUCUUUCCUUGUACUAAUACCACAUAGAAUAAGAGAUUUAGAUUAUUGCAAUAGGAGACUUGUAUAGAAAUGUUAGAGGGAUCACAUAUAAUUACCAUCAUUAAAAAAUUUGUGGGGAAAGAAAACUGUAGUUUAAAUAAAAUCUUAAAACUAUUACAUACUAUUAAAGAUUUGGAUGCAAUCUUGAGUGGCCACUCGUCUUUGCUCCCGUUGAUUCCUUCCGUGUCUGGAAGUUUCUUUACUUGAGAUGUUGUAUCUAUCUUGAGAUCUUCGUACUUGAGAAAUAACACUUUUUGAAUGUCAUGUAAGUUUGCAUUCAAGUAUCCCUCUAUAUGAUCCCACUAGGAGGUAUAAACUACAUGGUGCACGAUGGUAUAGAAACAGAAGGUGCACAGACAAGCAUAUGAUGUGGAGGAAAAAUACUAGAGGAGGAUAUAGCUACGGACAUUCACGUGUUUCGGCAGAUGACAACCAAGGUUGUUAGGUCAACAUUUUUUUUUUUUUGCUAAAUGGGCUACGCAGGAGCAAAAUAUGAGUACGAACAUGCGCUACUUUUCAUACAAAGAAAGAUUUGAACUGAACAAAGCAAGAUAAACAAUGGAAACACGUUUCAUAUAAAGAAAGCUCUAAACUAAACAGACUAAGAUACAUAAUGGGAAGUAAUAUAGAGCCUAGUUCUAGUACAUACCCACUACAAUUGCUUCUUAGAGACUAUCAUAGUGCUUAAAAACUUAGUAUGGACUAAGUUGGAUGAAUAGUGAAAUUGAAAUGCCAUGGAUAUAGUUUUUCAAUGUCUUUUCUAUUGAAUACGAUAACAGCAAAAGAGGUGGGUGAUUGUGGAAUAAAAAACAAUAUGUCUCCCGGGCAAAGAGCAUGUUCGACUAUGAAAGUGGCCCAAUUCUCAUUGAAGGAUCUUUGGUUCAUGCCAAUGCAAUAGGUUUUAUAGCCGCUUGCAAGAAUUACUGUUGGUGUUGUGCCUUCACGUAGUCGAAGGUCAGCAUAUUGCGGAAGGGCCUAUUCACAAAAAAAAAGGGGAUUGAGGGAUCCAAAGAACAAAGUUUAGCCAAAACCAGAUUUUGAAUAAAGAAAAGUAGUACGAACAAAAGAAGAAAAGCUAUAUAUAACAUAAAAAAACUUAUAAUUAUUCGUAAUCACCCUAAGCCGACACAUAUCAAAACUGGAUUAUGUGCAAUAUUAGUCAUAAUAUCAGUCCCUUCUAUGGCUUCGAACUCAUUCUAGACGAUCAAAAUAAUAUAGGCCUAAAUCUUAACACAGAAGAACAUACAAAGAAAACUAAUUAUUAACCUGAACACAAAAGAUAAAAUCAAUAAAUAGAGGGAAAAAAAAUACCCAACACCUACUCAUAGAUAACAAUAACAUAGUCGCACGCAACAGAUGGCCCCCUUUCAAAAUACUUCUCUAGCAGGAAGGCACACAAAACAAUUCCCUUGACAUUUGUGAAGCUUCAAAAAGAUAAAUUCAGGAAACAAAAAAAUGUAUAGGCACACAAAAUUCAAGAAUAGGAGAAAAACAACACAACGGAAAAUAAAGUUACCUAUGAAAUUUUUUGUGUCGGCAACAGUGUCGCAUGAAGCAAUAGAUGGUAGUCCAAAAUAACAUGGGAGUGUUGGAGGCUCAACUUCGAUCACUUCAUCAAUUACCGUUUCAAUAGUCAAAGAGUCAGGUAUCUCAUAAAAAUGAGUUUUUGAAAUGUGAUACUUCUUAAACGGCACAAGUGGAUUGCUAACACAAUCAAUGUUCUCAUCAAUCCCAAGUGCAAUCACCUUUACACCCCAAAAUAGGCAAAUCCACAAUCAGCAAAAGAAUUAAGGAAAAGUAAACACUGAACCAACAUAAAACUGCACCUCAAAAUCAGAAAAAAACAAAAACAAAAACAAAGUAGUGAAACUUCUUUGCUAGUUCACUGCCACAAAUUGCCUUCACAUGUGAUGCCUCGAUAAGUUGAACUCAGGAUGUCCAACAAACCAUGUAAGCAUUAACCUAUGGCACACUAACAUCCCAUCAACAUGCUCGGACCACAUAACUUAAAGAAAAAGACAAACCAGGCCCAAUGUUAAAAAAGACAUGGAAAAAGGGGAAAAUCAAAAGAAAACAAAAUGAGAGCAUAAAUACAGACAUUCAACCAAACUAUGAGCUAAUAAAUGUAUAACUAAAAGGGAAAAGGGAUAAAAGGCCACCAAAAUAAGGCUAUAAAAGUAUCAAACAAGUCAUUACAAGGAAGUCGAAAUACAAAAAAACACCAGCCAUCAAUAGUUAUAAAAGAAGUGAACAAAACCAAUCAUAAAAGAAAUAUUAGAAAAAAAACAACACAGGUCUUGCUCCAAAAAAGGGAAAAAUCUUGCUACUCCUCAACAACAUAAAUAAAGCAAGCCUGGCUUAUGCACUCUAAAUUGAUAAGCGAAAAAACACAAAAACAAGAGAUAAGGAAAGAGGGAAACAUAAAAAAAAUACACCAAACAUCUUGAGUUAUAAAACAAUAGAACAGAACAAGGCAUAAAAGAAGUUUAAAAAAAAAAGACACAAUUGUCUGGGGCAAAAUUUUUUUUUUCUUGUGAUGGCCAAGUUCUAACCAUUUUGUGUGCUUAUUUGUAGCAAGCCAAUUGUGUCCUUUUUUUUUUGGCUAUAACCUAGCCAUAAAAGAAAGAAAGAACAAGAGAAAACACUUUGUUACGAGAAGAGGGAAAAAAGACUCAAUCCACAGUUCUAAAAGGAAAAGGAAAAGUUGUACUAACCAAAAUAGCACAUCAAACAAGAGGGAAAUUGCAAAAGGGAAAAAGGAAAAAAUGAUAAAGCUACGGAAAAAAUACAAGCAAGGCGUAAAACAAGCAUAUAAUAUAAAAUCAAACCAAAAAACUCUCUGAACAAAAUAGGAGGAAAACGCAACACCUGGACGAGAGGGCCAAGAAAAAAUUUCCCAAAAGAGGACAAAUGCCACAAAAAAAAUCACCGAAAAGUAAAAAAGAAAUUAAAAGAAUAGUGAAGAGAGAACUAGGGAAAAAGAAUGAAAAACACAAUAGCCAAGCGUUACAGCAAACGUAAAAGGAAAAAAGGAAGAAAAAAAAGGAAAAAUGAUAGAGCCAAGAGCAAGGAAAAAGUACCCAAGCAACGCACAAAACAAGCGUAAAAGCCAGCACAGAAGCAAAAAACUAUUUGGCCAAAAAAGUAGACAAGAUAGAGUGACUGGAGAAGUGAGAUCCAACGCUAAAAAAACUUUCGAGGAAGAAAAGAGUACCAAGGGAAAAAAGGAGAAAACACAGCAAUUGGACGAAAAUGCUUUAGCACUGGGGAUGUAUUUUUAGAAGCCAAAACAACCACGCCCUUUGUCCUCCAACUGCAUUGAAGUAAUUUUUUUUUAAAAAAAAAGACUAAACAUCAGCUUGGUUGAGCUUCAGAAAAAGAAAUUAAAAAAGAACAUACCUAUGCAGAACCAAACACCAACAGAGCUAAUGCUGAACAGAAAAAUACCUAGGAGAGCAAGCAGUGAGGUGAACGCAACGACAGCACAUCUGUCUCUAUCCCAGGCUCAAACCCAUAAUAAUAAGAAAUCAAAUGUAAUCCUCAUUAAUGUUUUGACUGAAAGACUGAAAAGUAAAAGUAAAAGUAGCACAGAAACAACAGUCUCCUACCUAGGUAGCUCCUUCCAGCACAGAAGAAGUCACCAAAGAUAGUACAGUGGUAAACGUCAUGGAGGAAAACCACGAAGCUAAACCACGCCGCACCAAUCGAGUGAAGGACAAAAAAAAAUGACGCUGUGGCACUUCUGCUCUAAUUGAAUGCAGCACAAAAAAAAAUGUCGCGAUACCUGUCUGGGAACCACGCGCAACACAUGUGGGAUGGCAACCAAGAUGAAACUAAACCAAAUAUCUCUUUGGCUCUUAUACUAUAUAUGUUGAAAAGAGUAAUAUGUCUUUGCAAAUAAUCUAAAAACUUCAUCAAUAAGACUUGGUUUUUGCUUAUCUUUACCAAGAUUUUCAAGCUAAAAGUGCCGAUGAGAAAUGUAUUGAUACAAAGGGCUUCUACAUAUAUAAAUUACAGCAAAUGGCCAAAAAAGUCAAAAAACUAUUUAGAAAUCCUUAUUUUGGCUAUGAAUUUUAUAAAAAUAAUUUACAUAUACUGAAAUUUUUGUUUAAAAUAAUUAUUUAACUAAUAAAAAGUAUAUUUUUGGUCACUCAACUAAUAAAAACUUUUAUUUUAGUUACACAACUAAUGAUGAUAUAUACUUUUGGUCAUAGAAUGUAUGUUCUAAUUAGUUGAAUGGCUUUUUUGGCUAGAUAAAAAGUUUAGUGGUUGAAAUAGGAAAUCCUAAAUAAUUUAGUGACAAGAUGUAACAUAUGCUCUAUAAAUUAUGCUACAUUUUGUAUUCAAAAUAGAUUCAAGGACAUGGUAGCAUAGAUGUGUUGUGAAAAUUCGUGGGCAUAAAAAGACCUCAAGAUCAAGAUUUUGGCAAAACCGAUUAAGAACCAUGAUAUUUUCUUCUGCCACCUCUUUAAUUUUAACCAUUCUUCUCCAGAUGACUGAAGAGGUGGGUGUGACUUGAAAACAAGAAAGGUGAAGUUGCCAUGUUUUUAAAAUCAGGUUGUCAAGUGAAUCAGAUGAACUUUUGGUUCAUAACUCGAACCGGUUGAAUCAGUUCAAUCCGAUUCAAACAUUUUUCUAAUUUUUAAUUUUUAUUUAUUAUGUGGAUGGGAUGACUUUAAAAUUAAAAAGAAGGAAAUUUUAGUAUGAACUAAUUCAAAAGUUUGGUUUUGACCGAUUUGACCAAUUCUUGACCAGAUUUGACUAGUUUAAUUGAUUUUAUAAUUUUACUAAUGAACCAAACUAGUGCCAUGACCGGUUCAUGGUUCACUGGUCAAAUCGGUUUGGUUUUCAUGACACUGGAAGCUAUUGGCUUCACUACAACAAAGUAGUGCUUUUGCGAUGCAUUGAGUAUGACAAAUAGAAAGAGUGCCAUACUUAGGGAUGUAAAUAAGUCAAGUUUAAUAGAGUACCUUGCGAGUUUAAUCGGUCAAAGCUUGAGUUUGAGCUCAUAUUGAUCGAACUCAAGUUUCAGUUCGAGUAGCUCAAAUCGCUUGACAAGCUUAAGUUCAAGUUUAAUAUGCAAAACUCAAAGGCUUGUGAAGUUUAAUCGAGUUCAAUCGAGUUUUACACAUGCAUAUAUAUACAUACAUAUAUAUUAAUUUUUUAUUUAUUAGUGUGACAUAUCUAUCUUGUCCCUAGUUUAAAAUUAUAUAAAAUAUAAAUUUAUAUUAAUUAGACUCAAUUGGCCUUGAUUACACUUGAUUGAGCUCAACCGGAUCUGAUUUGAUCAAACUCGAGUUUGAACUCGUGAAAGGCAAAACAAAAUCGAACUCGAGUUCGAUUUCAACUUUCAAAAGCUCGACAAGCUUGAACUCAAGUGGUGCAUUGUUCGAACUCGAUUCAACUUGAUUACACAUUUAGUUGCAUCAACACAAGUUGACUCAUUCGAUAAAAGGGAAAGGUAUAAACGCACCCAAUCAUUUUCAUUCCAAAGAAAAACAAAAAAGAGUAAAAAAAAGAAAAAAGAAAAAGGAAAGGGUGCUGCAAACCAUGGAAGAAGCUCCGUGUCGUAGAAUUUGCGGUAAUAAAAGCCUUUAUUGCAAGAACAACUUGCAUGGUGGAGUGAAGUACUCAAGUGAAACGACAACGUUGCUGUUAAGUUAAUAAUGCCAAAAAACAAUUCCCUCACAAGGAGAGACAUCGUUUUAAUUUUAUCAUUUUAUUAUUAGGGAUAAUUGCAGAAACCUCCCUUGAGGUUUUUGAUGCUAGCACUCACCUCCCCUAUGAUUUUUAAAAUUGCACUUACCUCCCCUAGGAGGAAAUUGGACCUAUUACUAACAAUAAAUUGUAUGAUUUUACUUUUAUACCCUAACUAAUUGCAGAACUUAAUGAAAGGAUUUUAGAAAAGAAAAAUUAUUUUUUGUCAACAAAUUAAGUGACUAAUUAAAUUAGAUUACCUAUGAGUUUUAGCAUCACUAGCCAUUAUAAGCAAAACUAAGGAAUGAUGCCAAUUAAGGGGAGAAAAAUGGCGUACAUGUUUCUAUAUUAUGUUCUUCAAACCAGCUAGUUUAAGUCUAAUUUUGUACAAUUGUAGAGAGAAAGGCCAGUACGCAAUUCUGGAGUUUCUACUAAAAUAAGUAUAAAGAGAACUUGCAAAAAUAUAUCUGCUCAAAUCAUUUCUAUUUCAAAAUCUCCUCUAGUUUAGCCUACUACUAUUUCUCAAGUUGCUAUAUCUCUUCCCAUUAAUAUAGUUAUAACCCUAUAAUUUGGAAAUAUUAGCAACAGCAGCAAUUUUAGUACGUGGUUCUAAUGCACUUACUGCAAUUUUCAUUUAUUAAAGACAACUUUAUCUUAUUAGUAAGCACUUCUAAUUACUUGUAACUAGGCUUAUCUCAUGCUCAUUAACUUUUAGUGAUGCUUAUGUAUGCUGUUAAUUAACUAAUUGUUCAACGAUAUUAUAUAUAUAUAUAUAUAUAUAUAUGAUUGGUGUUGACAACAUAAGUAGUUGUGUUACCCCUACAAAUAGCUAUUCAUAUUACUAAUAAAGAGUUUUUAAAAGUGAUGUGUAUUCUUUAUAAAUUUUGCUGCGAGAAAUUGGAUAUAUAAUCAUUUAACUACCUGUUAGUAUCCACCGUUGUUUCAUGUAUUGUUGGUAAAUUUCAUUCAAUUGCAUUUACACCCCUUGAAUUUUGUUAAUUCUUAAUAGGUUUUCAUAUUUUGUUAUUUCUCCAUUAAUAUAACUUGGCAAGCAGCAUGAAGGGCAAAUCUGGUACAAAUUUUUCAUCUCACUCCUUAAAAAUUUUUUGGAAAAAUGACCUAUUUCAUCCCUUGCAUUUCAUAAAAAUAUUCUUUUCGUCCCUCACUUUUAAAACGAAGCAAUUUGGUCCCUGACAUUUAAAAAUUAAACCUAUUACAUCCCUGAACCUUAUUGUCAAUUUGAAUCAAACCAUCCAAUAACCCAGUAAUAAAUUUCGGAAAUAGAAUUGAUAGAUCAUAUUCAAAUGACAUUUAUUAAACCAAAAAAAAUAAAAAGGAUAACAUAAAAGAUCAUUCUUUGUCUUGGAAUAAUAGGAUUUCUUUUUUGGAUAAAUCUUUUCAUGUACCGUUAGUAUAUACGCUUGUGUGUCUACAUGUAUAUCAUAAAUACAAAAUUUGGUGUUUAAUAUGGCAGGUACAUAAACCCAUCAGUGUAUACAAUGACAAUGUAGGAAAGAUUAAUUCUUCUUUUUUAUGUUAUAAUUUUUUAUUUUUUAUUUUUGGUUUCAUUAAAUUUCACGUGAAUAUCAAGUUGAGUUAGUCAAAUGAUCUACCAAUUAUACCCCCAAAAUUUGUAAUUAGGUUAAUAGAUGGUUUGAUUUAUAUUGAAAAUUGGGUUCAGGGAUGUAAUAACUUCAGUUUUUAAAUGUCAAGGAUGAAAUUGCUUCGUUUUAAAAGUGAGGGAUGAAAAGAAUAAUUUUGUGAAAUGUGAGGGAUGAAACCGGUCAUUUUUCCAAAUUUUUUUUAAUAGUAACUUUUCCAUGGACUGAAUUUGCAACACAAACCUUAAGUUCAAGGAUAAUAAGUGCUAUUUUCUAAAUUACAAGAGAGGUAAAUGCUAGUAUUAGAAACCUCAGGGGAGGUUUCUGCAAUUAUCCCUUAAUAUUAAUAUUCCUAGUAACUCCCGGAAACAAAUCUCGUAGUUCAGUCUUCGGUGUCCAGUCGUCUCCAGUCCACCAUCACACUCCGGUCCGGUGUGUACGAAUUUCCCGAAUAACGACAAACAAUACUACGAAAAAGAAAAGAAAAAAAAAGGUACCAAUUUUGAGUUCCGACUUCGGCUUCACUUCCAUCAGUUCUAGGUGGGCAGCGGGGGAGAAACAAUUCAGAUUUCAUUGAUUCCCCUGGUAAAAAUUUUUUGUAUUUUUGCUGCGGGAAGUUUAUAAUUUCAGAACAAAUGCCUUUAUAAUUUCACGCUAAAUUCUGGUAUUAUCAAACGUUGUCACCGAUUCCAAGGAUUUUUGUGCGUUUUUGUUGUUGUUGAUUGAGAUUUUAUUCUGAAGUUAUACAAAUUUGAGCUUCAUCUUCUUUUCCUACAUAGCUGCAUUCUGAUUCAGGCAUUUUGUUUUUUGUUUUUGUUUUUUCUUUGACUCAGUAGAGACUUCAAAACCUGGAAAUUACUAUAGGAAAAAGCAUUUAAGUUGGAAAUAAAUUUAGCAUUAAUUCAAUAAUAAGGUGAGAAAGGUGUUAGGGUUAACACUGAAGCUAGUAUAAGUUUGCAGGGUGUCAUUUUCUAAACUGGCAAUAAAUUUCGUGAGGAUUAAUAGUUUCUUAAUUCUUACUGUUAAUAGAAAAUUCUUCUAAUUUCAGGUAGAUGAAUAAUUUCAGCUUCUCUUUACCUCGUUGUUCCUGCUAUUCUUAUGCUUCAUAGGUAGACAGUCGGCGAUGAAAGUAGUUUGACUUAGUUGGUAAGCAUCUGAUCUGUUGUUAAAAUUCAUUAAUGCUAUUUUAUCAUUUUUUUUGUGCUUAUUUGUUGUGAUUUCUUGUUCUGGUUUAUGAGAAUUAGGGUAAUGAAAUUUGGAGGCAUUCCUCUGAAUUCUUGAUUCGGCUUUAAGAGUCUUUGUCUUGUAGUUUUCGAUUUUUGUCUGGGGAGUUUUAUUAAGUUUCUGAUUACGUUUGUUCAGAAUUUAUUAUUAUUAUUAUUAUUAUUAUUAUUAUUAUUAUUAGUUAAUUAUACAUAUCUUUCUGCCAAGGUGGAAAUAGCAGAAUUGUAACUGUUGCUAAGUGAGUUUUAUUCAUUUCUACUUUUUGAAGUUGAUCUUCAUCAUUGCUGUCUGAAGGCUGGGAUGAUAGAGAAUAUAUUGAGGAUCCAAACAAUGUGAAGCGUGAGGUAUUGUGUUCCCACACGAACUUGAUUUAUUUAUUUAUUCAUCUACAAGUACUGCACGUGAACUCAAUACAUUUUGAGGAUCCAAACAACGUGAAGCCUGAGGUAUUGUGUUCCCACACAAACUUGAUUUAUUUAUUUAUUCAUCUACAAGUACUGCACGUGAACUCAAUACCUUUUGAAUUUUCUUGGCACUGUUGGGAUAUGACUCAAUUCCCGAAGAAGAUAAAGAAUCCUAUCUACAAAGGGAAGUGGAAGAUUCCUUGGGUUCGAAAUCCAGGUACAUUAUGAGCAUACUCACUCGUAUUCUUGGACGCACUUGAGAUGAUUCACAUAAAAUAAACAUUCCAGUUAAUAAGUUUAAAAGCUUGUUCAGUUGGAAGAUGUUAAUGCCAGAAAGUAAGUUGAGGUGAAGAUGAUGAUUUUACCAAUUAAUCAGAUUGAAUUAAUCAUGCUAACUAAAUCUUAUUUUUUGGCAUCAUUGAAUUUAAUCGUUUUUUCUGGUUUUUUUGGACCCCUUAAGUUUGAAUUAGGCAGUAGUCAUGUAGCUAAAUUUAGCAAAAGUCAUUAAUACAUUCCUAGAUGAUUGUAUGUAUCUACAAGUUGAGCACAAGUGUAUAAACAGAUUGGAUAAACAGACUUACUGUGCUUUCUUUACAAGUAGGUUGAGCUAUCUUCAUGAAUUGUAAAGAUCAAGGAACAAAUUUUCUAAUAGACUAUCUUAUCUUCUCAUAAAUUAAGUGUUCCAUGUAAUUUUUAUAGAUAAACGAACUUACUUUGUUUUAUUGUUCUUAGGUGUUAAUAGUUCAAAUUUUGAAUUCCAGUUGCCUAGGCAGUCAGACGUUUGUGUUUAGUGACCUUCCCAGAUUGCUUGCAGUUUGGUUUCACGGUUUCCUAGCUCUAUGUAAACACUACUCAAACAUAGUUUGUUUACUUCUUAGAAUAACUUUCCUUCUGCUCUUAUUUACUGCCUGAUUUAUUAAUAUCUGCAUCUAACCUAUGGAACCUACAUGCUUACUGUUGUUUUCAGCUUCUUAGUUUUGGGUACAGUCUACUUGAUGGAAUACAAGGUGUCAUAGGAGACCUGCAUUCAAGUUCAAGCUUGGGCAAGGUAAAGAUUAAUGAAGUUGAUCUCAGGUUAAUAUGAUUGUUAGGUGCUUUGUGUUCUUUUCCCUUCAGCCAUGUAAGCUAAGGUGGAUUAAUCUUGUCUUAGUCAAUUUAGUUUUGAUUAUUAUACUAUAUAGGAAGUUAAAAAGAGUAUCUUCAGAUUUUAAGUAGUUAUGCCAGCCUUUACGUCUUGAAUUGUUGCUUAUUUGUUGGAUUUUAAUCUUCUGUGUGACAUAUAUUGCCUUGUCUGAUAGGUUUUGAUUUGGGUCUGGGUGAAUAGUAGUGACCAUGGUGAGGGAACAUGGAUGGCAGUUACCGGCACACACCUUUCAGGUAUAAUUCAACUUUUUCCCCCCUUUUUCUGUUUCCUUGUUCAGGAUGGAUCAUCUUUUGCAAUCAUACUGCUGCUGUUGCUACUAGACUCUUUGCUUUCUUCUUCUUUUCCUCAAACCUACAAACAAUGUUCCUAAUAAGUUGCUCGUCUGUUCCUUAUUUGAAAACUUUAGAAACUGGUGAUCCCGAGACUCAUAGGAUCAAUAUAGUUUUGCAAGGAGACUAGAGGUCAAAGCUUUCAUUUCAUUGGAAAAUUUGCAAGUCAAUUACUAACUGUACAGGAGAAAAAUUGUGGAAACACAUUGUAAGAUUGAACAGAGAUAAACUCAUUAUAUAGCAAAUAAUUCUAUCUCUUACAUUGAUUAAGGCAGCUAUUUGUGGAUAUAAAAAUAAAAAAUUAAGAAAAACAUUAAGCACACCACUGUGAGCAUCAUUUAGCUUGAUAGAGAGGUUAAAAGUCAGAGUUGAUGCUAAUAUGACAAAGUUACACUAACAAAUGAUAGAAAUGGUUUGUUCCAUUAGCAUAAGUAGGCCUUAAAAGAAGCAUAAUGGAAUGACAGAUAGAGUAGCUGGUUUGUGAUUUUUUGGAUAAAGUUCCUAAUUGAGUUUGAGCUGGUGAAUGGUUGUGAAUCUUUUAGCUCAUUUCUCACCCCUGUAUCUAGCUUGAUUUUCUGCAGCUGUCUCAGAAAUGAAAUAGUACUUUUUUUCAUGGAAGGAACAUUUGCAGUCCUUGCAAAGGAUGAGAGAAGCUGUACACAACUUGUAUUUACUAUUUUUCCCCCUCCCAUUAAAGCAGAUAUUUUUUCCCCUCUGUUGGGACCAUAAAAAAUUAAUUCAUUUAAGGAGAUUUAUUUUGUGAUACAAUAUUGAGCAGAUAUCUUAUUACUGUAGUUGGAGAACUUGAUAUUCAGGAAGAAUGCAUCAUCUGUUACUCCCGGGAUUGGUUUCACUAGUCAUGUCUUUACCUUGAUGAGGAUGCCAUAAGCCCCAGUUUCAUUCAAUUUAACUUCCUCUGGGUCCUAUACAUUUAAUAAUACAAGAGAAAGUCUCAAUGUUUUCAACUCAAGGAUUUUUGCUAUUUGCUUAUGUGCUAGAGCUAAGCCAAACCUGAUCCUUUUUCUACAGACUGUUUACCUUGAGUUGUUGGCUAUUCCCUCUGAAACAUCUAUUGUUGUAUUGAUGGAGAUAUAAGUUUAGCUUUCGGUUGUUAAGAAAUUGUUUGCUAUACGUGGUUCCAAUACUGUCUGUUUAGGUUUUGCCAGUGUUGUAUAUGUUGAAAUGUGUAGUUGAAGCACCCUGUUCCCCUUCCUCUUUACAUUUUGGUCUGGAUAUUGUCAAUUACUGUCACAUCUCCUCCAUUUAUCUUGGUACUAUUUCUUUAAGUAAGAAAACAAAAAAUCAUUUGUCCUGUGAUUUUAAGAGUUUUCGAUGGUAGCUAAUUUCAGGUUAGGAUACUGGAACAUGGCAUUCAUAUAUUUUUUCCUGACCUUAGUGAAUCCAAGUCUUGUUGUCUGGUCUUGACACUUUAAAUCUGUUCCAUUAUUAUGUGCUUUUAAUAUCUUGUAAUUGCAAUUUUGGAGCCACAAUCAAGUGUUUAAAUACCACCAAAUUGGGUGAUGUAGAAUUGUGGCAUAUAUGGUUUGAUAGUUUGUUUAGGUUUGCCUAGUGUUUAUCAUGUUCAAUUACAAAGUUAAAUUACUUGAUUCCCCUUACCACCAUAUGUUGGUGUAAAGUAUUCCAAUGUAACUCUUGUUCCCUGGAUUCAUCUACUUUCUACACUCAAGCUAAAUGCAAUCUAUGCUGUAGUUUGACUUUUUUUUUCUUAUGACACCUGAUGGGAUAUAGGAUACAAGAAUGUCAUGAAUUUUUCCUAACCUGCGCCAAAAGCAGCCUAGUUGACUGGUUUGAAUCUUCUUUUAUUCUUUCUAAAGUUGCUAUUUUUGGUUUGUUUGUCUACUUGGUCAUAUGAUACCUAAGUGUUGAAGUGUGAUCUGUUCAAACCAAGUUGUUGGUUAACUAAUUUUGGAUCUGACAAGAGUAUGGUUCUACUUCAAUUUUAUGUUAAAAACAAUAUGGCAUGAGCCUAAAUACAAACUUUUAGUGAAUCACUCUAUUUUUGAAAAGAAAAGAGACUGAAUAUUGGCUAAGCUGACAAAUAGUUGUCCUUCUACUGUGAAUAGGACAUGGAGAGAAAAGAGAAUAAGCAAAAAAAAGAAAAAGUCUGAAGGGAGAAAACUAAUACUAGAAAUUGAGUAUUCUAAACUAGCAGAAAGUUUCUUUACUUCGUUUAUAACUGGAGAGAAGAUAUCUUGAAAUAAUAUGCUUCCUUCUAAUUUGAUCAAUGUAUUGCUGGCUUGACAGUUCUGGCAGUGGAUGCUUACUUCCUAAUUGUGCUGUCUUUCAGUAUAGUGUUAAUGUUAUGAAUCACUUCAGAUAAAAUACUGAGAGUUACUUCCAAUAACACAUUGAGAGGUGCCUCAAACAAGAUACGUGCUGCAGAUAUAUCUGUUAGGAUUACGUUUUGCAUCAUCGUGGAUUACAUGCAUAUUUGUAUUUGCAUAUUUGAAUUCCAGUGUGUUGCUUUACUUUCUAUAUUUGCUGACCACUUACAUUAAAUCUGUGGACUGUUUAACUUCUUGGACAGGUGGUUGCUAUUACAGUAUAUUGCUUAUUAGUGGUUGCAUUUUUCGCUUUUUUUGCUCCUUUCCUCGGACGCAAUAUUUGGGAGUAUGCAUUGGUUGCUGGUUAUUCUCCUGUGGUAUGUAACUUUGUUUUGUUUAUGCAUAUUACGUAGUUACAAAACAUGCUCCACUCGAGCAUAUGUUGGGACCUGAAUUGACUGUUUAGGCUACAGAUUUUACUCAUACUGGUAGUGUUGAAAGGCCAAAUUUCUUUCCUGUUUGAAAGAACCAAGGCUGACCUCCAUACGUCUUAUUAAGCUUGCAUGUGCCUCAGUGUUUGGCUGUCUUCAUUUGCUAUUGACUGUCAAUGCUUUUAUUAUUUGUACUAUUCCAAAGCGAGCCAUUAAAUUUCCCUCUCCCUCUCCCUCUCUCUCCCUAUCUCUCUCUCUCUCUCUCUCUCUCUCUCUCUCUCUCUCUCUCAUUUGUUAGAAUUUUAGGCGGUGCUUGGUUCAUGCUUUGGAAUUGGAGCUGGAAUGAAAUAUCUAUGAAAUAAUAAAUAGAAAAUAAUUAUGGGUUUGAAUUAGUGGCAUCAUUCUAAUCACUAGUGCUUGGUAUAGACAUAUUUGGAAUGGGUGUCAAAAUUAAUUUUUUAUUUAUUUUUUGCUGGACUUCAAAAUUAUUAAUCCUGAACCACCACUGCUCAUCAUAAUGAGACCACCCCCAAUCAAAACUUCUUUUGUUCUUUGUUUUGCAAUCAUCAAUGGAAAUCCAUGACUAAUCUAUAUAAAAUCUGGCAGAUGGUCUUUUUAUUUUUCCUUUUUUGAAAAUUAGCAAAUGGAACUUUAAUUAAAUAAACCAAAUUCAAUCCCUCAAAGGAGGAGCCUCGAUGAUGGGGAGAGCAGAGAGAGGGUAAGUGAUGGAGAAAAGGGAACAGUUUAAGACAUAUUUUCUUUCUUUGUUUUUUUAUAAUUGUUCAUUUGUUCACUAUUAGGAUUAAAUUGAGGGUUUUGGGCGAUUCCUCCGAAUUUGGUCGGGAAUCAUGAAUCACCAAUUCUUUAGCCAUGAUUCCAAUAUUUCAAUUCCCGUUGUACUGGACCAAGCAGUACAUAUUGGAAUGAUUGUAAUCAGCCCCUUAGUUCUUGGCCUUUCUGGAAUUCUGAAGACAUAACUAAACUGAAAAUUUUGAGAGAAACGGUUAAGUUGUUAGUGAUUGGAAAAGAACUAGCACAUGUGAUGCGACUUGACUUGUUUAUAGAAAUGAGUCAUGAUAUGUGGAAGUUGUGGAAAUUUAGAACUGUUUUUAUAGUAGAAUAUAGUUUAGGGAAGAUGCUGACUUUAUUUGCAAAUAUAACUCCAUUUUGACUUUGGUGAAACUAGAUUUGAAUGUAUUGCACACAUCCUCUCCAGGAUCUAGAUAACUCCGUUCUGUUUUUUUCUUUUUUGGCAUGUCAUUUCACUGUUGUUAAAUUUAAGAACUUUAAAUUAUUUGACUAUACCUGAAAUUAACUAAAUGGUUCAACUCUGACAAAUUGGCCUAGUACAUGGUUGAAUGCCUGGCGAAAUUCGAUAUCCACAUCCUUUUAUAGUGCUAACAGUCAAUCUGGGUUCAUCACUACUGUGCACUGAUGUCUUGGACCUGGAUACAUAAAUAUGAAUAUGCUGUUUUUCCUUUUCUGGAUAUCGUAUAUGACAAUUUUAAAGAGGUGUUGGUAUUUUUUAUUUUUUCCAGUUUCCUGUGAAGAUUUCUUAGUUUCUAUAGCUUAAGCAUUACUUUAGUCACUUAUUUUUGUUGUCAGCUUUUCAGCUACUAUAUGUGGUAAUAAUGAACUUUAAUGUGGAUUGUUAUGUGGUAAUAAUGAACUUUAAUGUGGAUUGUUUGCUCUUCUUCAUGUAGGCGACCCUUGUAUUUGUUCUUUAUGUUCGGUGUACUGCAAUUAAUCCUGCAGAUCCUGGCAUCAUGGCUAAAUUUAAUUCUGAGCCAAGAAAUAAAAUCAGCAUAAGCAAUGGGCUAUCUGCUCAGGAUUUGCCUCAAAAAUUCGAUGAACAUAGUGUUGGGGCUCGUUCUUCUGUAUCAUCACCUUCAAGAAGUUCCGUUCCUGCAGCUAACUCCAGUAAGAGAGCUUCAUUAGAAGCUGGGAGUACUAACAUGCAAGUUACAUCUCCAACCGCGAAGUCAUCUUGUUGGCAUCCUGGGAAAAUCUUUUGUGCAGUGUUUGUACACGAAGAUUGCUGUAAUCAGGAUGGCAUAGAUGAUCCAGAAGGUGCAGGCGAAGAUGCCUUGUUUUGCACAUUGUGCAACGCUGAGGUAGCUAAUUUUGUUUGGUAUACAUUUCCUUGAUGGAAAUAACUCAUUUCCAAUACUCUUCCAAUCUUGCUUUUCUACAUCCCUAUUGUAAUGGAAAAUGCUUCUGAUGAACAUAGCUAAAUUUCAAGUAUACCAAUCCAUUGCAAAACUAAGAGAAGGUUUAAAAAAAAAAGAGAGGUACUCUUAACAAAUUCCAGUACUCAUAGCAAAGUUACCUCAACUAUAAAUGAUCUAAUAUGAAUGUUCAUACACGGGACAAAGUUUUAAAAAGCAAUUUGAUGAUUGACAUAAAGUCAAAGUCAUGUCUAAAAAGAGCUAGUUUCCUAUUCUUUAAUCUCUCUGCCUAGAUUUUCAUAGAAACAUGAGUAAGCUAAAAACUUUCAAAACUCCUAAUUCCUAUUUUAAAAUUGAAAGCAAAAUUAGUUAUAGUAAUUAUUUAGGAACUUUCCUAUAAGACUGACUCCAAUCAAUUAUCUAAUAUAACAAAUAAUUAAAAGACACUUGGUAACAUAAUGGCUGGAAAUUUCCUGUGAACAAGUAAAAGACCAAACAAAGCCUCAAGACCUAAAAGUCUAGAAGCUACUAAAUCUCGGGAAAUAAAUUAUGAUGAACAUGAAUAAAGAUAUUUAACUAACAUAUUCUUGCUCCCAAUUAGGCUGCCAAUCUUCAACCAAUGCUAGUGAAGCCUGAGGAAAAUCACAAAAGUUUUUAAUUUUUAGAUGUCCUUGAACUCUUUGUUGACUGUAUUAUAACUGCCAGAGUGUAAUCCUUUGGUAGUAUUCAUCUUUAAUGUUCUGGCUCUUGCUACAUGUGUACAAACUUAUGUAAUUUGAUAGGCCAAACCUAUAUGGAUGGUUUCAUUCUGCAGUCAGAGAGUAAUUUGCAACCACUUGUAACUGCUGUUCUACUUAAUGUGCCAUAGUCAGUGGACUUGCUUUAUAGUCAUGGGAUUUCUAAUUCACAAUUCGAAACCAUUUGAUCUAUAACUAUUUUGAGUGCCAUUCCUUGCCUAUAUUUUAUCUGUAAAAGUUCUGGAUACCACUUGGUGUUGAUAAAAUUUCUAUAAUUUGUGCCCAUGCAACAAACAUGAAUGCCUCUUUAACUCUAUGCUUCGGCUGCAGGUACGCAAAUUCAGUAAACACUGCAGAAGUUGUGAUAAAUGCGUUGACGGAUUUGAUCAUCAUUGUCGGGUAAAUUUUUUUAGUUUUUAUGGUUUCUGGGGAUAUACCUCAAUUAUUUUGUGGACUCUAAAUUUUGAAUGUUGAUUUUCAGUGGCUCAAUAACUGCGUUGGUCGAAAAAACUAUGUAACUUUUAUAGCACUAAUGGCCCUGAGUCUCUUUUGGGUAAGUUUGGAGUAUUAUCUGGUUCAUUCGUAUAUUUGUUCUUAUACUACUGAUCUCUCUCUCUCUCUCUCUCUCAGCUUGUUAUUGAGGCUUCAGUGGGGAUUGCAGUUUUAGUGCGUUGUUUUGUUAACAAGAAGAACAUGGAGGCUGAAAUUGUUGAUAGACUUGGAAAUGGUUUCUCUCGUGCCCCAUUUGCCACUGUUGUGGUAAUAUUUUAUCAAUUUUAACUGGCAUAAGAUGAAUUUUUUUCCUUCUCUUUGCAUUUGAUUCAAAUAUAGUUAGCAAGUUAUCUAUUCUGAUGCAGGCAGUGUGCACAGCUGUUUCCAUCCUUGCUUGUGUACCCUUGGGCGAGCUUUUCUUUUUCCACAUGAUACUGAUUAGAAAGGUCAGUUGCCUUCAGAUCUACUUUUGCUGUUAAAAUUUAGGUAGAUGAAUUAUGUUGGUUAUGCUUUGUGUUAGGGUAUUACGACUUAUGAAUAUGUUGUGGCAAUGAGGGCUAUGAGUGAGGCACCGGCUGGGCCAUCUAUGGAUGAGGAUCUGCCAAAUAUUAUGUACUCGCCAACGGGUUCUGCUACUACAGGAUUAAGUGGUGGAAGUUCUUUGGGCUUGCAAUACAAAGGUGCAUGGUGCACCCCUCCAAGGGUGUUCGUUGAUUAUCAGGUAUAUUACCUACUUACCUGCAAAUUACUGCAAAAACAGGAUAGAUUGUCUUGAUACCAAGGGAAACAUCUUUCACAUGGUUAAUUUCAUAACUGCAGCAUUUAGGGUUUAUUUUUAUGUGCAGGGAUUUACUUGAAAUUAAAGAUUUUCAGGAACAGCUGAAAACAAAAUUCUUGUUCCAGCUGCUAUGUGAUAGUUAAAGUGGUUAUUUAUGUUUUAUAUUUGGUUUACUUAAAGGACAGAGAUUCUGGAAUUUUGCAAGUAUCAUAAUCUUAAUAGAGUACUCAGUCCCUCAGUUUGCUUAGAGAAAAUGUUGAUUAAGUGGUCUAAUAUUUCUAUUUGAACAGUGAUGCUUCCGAUUGUUACAGCAUUGAAAAAUAUCCUUUACAGAUUGUUUCCCUGACCGGCCUCCCCAAGCCGCAAAUGACGUAAGAAGAGCAAAAUAGAUGGCUGAGAUGUGGAGAAAUUAAUUAUUAAUUGAAGAAAUGUUCUUGUUCCUGGCUUUAGUUGCUCUGAAAACUUAGGAUCUGAUAUCAUAUUUCGUGUAACUGACCUUAUGUACAAUGUCCAUCUAUUGGCGCCCUUACUGUCAUGCAAGAGAACUUAUUUUGCUGUGGUUGAGUUGAUCUUUGCAAAUUCUGUUUAAAGAACUUAUUGAAACUGUUGCCUGGUUUUUCUGCAUCAAUUGAAAAUAGUAAUUGAAGUAAGAAACUCGGAUUGAAGUUCGCACAAGUAUUGGUUUGUUAUAAUGUCUGUAGGAUCACUGAUGGAAUUUUUUAUUCGUUGGUUUUCUUUUAGCGUACAAAUUGACUGACAUUUUCUUUUUUAUUGGCUUUUGGAUUCAUAAAUCUUACGUUUUAGCAUAAAUGCCUUGCUAUUGCAGUUACUACUUCACAAUUGAUUAAAUAUCAGUAUUAACUUGUUAUUCUUUUUAGAACUACUCGUCUUUUUUAACUCUGCCUUUGAACAAUACAUAUAGGAAGAAGUAGCACCUCAAUUAGAACCUGGAAUGGUUCCGUCAACAAUUGAUCCAGAUGCAGCUGCAUUUGGAGAAAAGGGAAACAAAGUGCCAAAACGAUCUGUUCGGAUCAGUGCUUGGAAACUUGCAAAAUUAGAUUCCAGUGAGGCUGUGAAAGCAGCAGCGAAAGCCAGGGCAUCUUCAUCUGUAUUGCGUCCUGUUGAUAACCGUCGCCUGCCAGAUGCUGAAAUGAGCUCAAGUGGAAAUCUGAGCAUUAGUAGUAGUAUGAGCACUGACACUGUAGGAAAUAAGGAUAACAAAAAUGAACUGAGACUUUCUCCUUUGCAAAACUCAGUUGCUCCCAGUCAAGGUAGCAAGGAUGAGUAUGAAACUGGCACGCAUAGUGUGAGUAGCUUCAGUAGUCCAAGCCAUGUCCACGACCCUGUGACACUAAGCCCCCUUCCCCAAGCUCAUGGUUUAGGACAGGUUAAUGCAUCUAGUUCUACACUUGGCCUCGUCCCCAAGCAGCCUCUAGCCCCAAGAGUUGCUUUCCCACGGAUUGCUGACCCAACGCUUCAUCCUCCAUCUGGCACUGAUGUAAAGAUCAAUCAGAAGGUUAGUGCUUCUGACCCAUUAUUGCUUUCAGCUGCAGCACCUGCAACUUCACUACUACGAGAUAUUAAGAGGACAUCGGUUGUUUGGGACCAAGAAGCUGGUAGAUAUGUUUCUGUCCCAGUGUCAGCUUCAGAUGCACGUAGUAGAUCAUUUGUUCCUGGAGUGUCAAACACAAAUGCAGGAUUAAAAAAUAAUGACAAGCAGCCUGUUGCUGACCCGCAGGAAUCUUCACAGCUUACAAAUCUUCCAAUCCAACAGUCAGAGAGGUUGCUUUAUGCUGGGGAGUCCAUAUUUUUUGGUGGCCCACUUCUAAGUGGUCCAAUUAGGGAUGGUUUGAAGAGUGAGAGGGGCUUAGGGGCAAGAGAUGGACAGGAUAGGCUUCCAAUCAUCAUGCCUAAAGACACUAGAUAUAAAAGGGACUCUGUCUCAAACCAGUUGCCUGUUUUCAUUCCUGGAGAUUUUGACUCUAAUCCGUCCUCUGCAUCAGGGUUGAAGUAGGAUCUCAUAUGAACUAUUUGCAUAGUUUAUAUCUCCCUAUGCCCACGAUGGUCUAAUAUAGGGAAGUUGGAGAAACCUCCAAAAGAACUGCUCCCUCGUUCAACCUGGAACCUUGCUGUCGAUGGUAGUGAUUCUUGUAACCAAUGGCGAGGUUCUAGUGGUUUCUCCUUGUAUGGAUUUUCCCAUAUUAACACUGCAGAGGGUACAUUUGUAGGAUAAAGUCAUCCAAUUCCCACGAGCACUGAAUCAUUUUGCUUGUAAUUAAGAAUGAUUUGAGGGUUAUGGGAUUAAGACAAGCAAAAGGUUUGCCUUGUCUGGCUGUAACUUUUUGUUGAUACAUUCCAAUUCUUAUGCCAACAAAAAUGUUUCAGGUAGCAAUAGCAAAACGUACUAACUGCGUCACAUUUGGUUCAUCCUGAAGCUAAUUCUCAGUUAUUCAAUAACUUGAUGUCGCAUGUGUAGUUUAGCAUAUGAACCCGUCAAAGAUUGAAUGAUCUUAAGAACUGAAGGGAAAAAUAUAGAAAUAUAGCUUUAUUACUUGUUUUGUUCUUAUUGUAUUUUAAAACAAAUUGUCCAUCAAAACAUAUCUAAAGAUGUGUCAAAGGUGCCACGCUGAGCUAAAAGUUAAAGUUCUAAUCUAUCAUUAAUUGGAGUUUGAAGAAAUAACAUGAACAGUUUAAACUAGAAUGUAAUAUUUUAAAGUCAGAUUGCAAAUUGAGUGUCUUAGAUAUAGAGGUAAAUGACACUUUUGUUGGAUUGUCAUUGAGAUGGUUUCACUUUAUUAAUGUGCCAAAUAUGAGUGACACUUCAAUUUUGAACAUAAAUACUAAUGGUUUUUCAGUGUUGCCAUUCAAAAAAAAAAAAAGCUUUUUGUAACUAUCCAUUCAUAGCUAUUUUAAAUUUCAAAUUAAAUGGUUAUGCUGCCUGUAUACACAAAGUUAGUUUAUUUAGAAAAAUUGAUUACAUGUCUUCGUAACGAGUAAGAUUUUUCAAAAAAAAAAUCCCAAAUUAUGGGGAAGGUGGGAGAACAAGAUCACAAUAGUCCAAAUAAUAAUGAUUCUGCUAAAAGUGAGAUUGAAUUGGUAAAUUGGGAGCAUAGAAUUAUAAGAUGGAAACGGUAGAUUAAAAUUCUAACAGUCAUAGCACACAAUAAAACCUGCUGAAGAAGAUGAUCGUACACUGCCUUAGGUUUCGUGUGCCUUCAAAUCGCAAGGGGCAGUCCUAUUUAUAUAUAUAGGAUGCAUUGGUGAACCUCAUAUGCCAAGUGUACAGUCUUUGAUUUAUUCUUAUUUGAUCUAGCUCGUAGAAACGACUAAAAACAUUCAAGUACCUCCACUACAUUUACAAUCCACUAGCAUAUACCUUUGUCCACUCUACUACCUGUAUAAUCUACCAGCUGGACCAAAACAUUGAGAUUGCCCAAGCUACCUUGUGAGCGUACAUGUUUUGUUGAGCUCUCUGCUAAUUCUAUUCCAAGAUUCUCAUCUCCUAACUAUCCAGAAGCAACCAGAGUUGUUAAUCCAAGGACAUUUGGCAUGCAACUUCAAUUCUAGAUAGAGAACUCCAAUCUUGUUCAAUAUUAAAGUGGGUUAAGAGGGAGGAGGGAUGGGUUGGGUGGCAUCAAAAAAAAAAAAGUAUAAAUGAGAGGGUCGGGAUUUGAGACCUCCUACUUACACGUUUAAAAAAAAAAGUGAGUUAAAAUCCCAAAAGACUCCCAAUCUAUCCAACAUUGAUAGGGUAUCAAUAAUAUAUAACCUAAAUAGAAAACCCAUGAUCCAUGGUGGGCUCAAGGCAUGUUAUAUCAAAUUUGAGCUUAGAUUCAAUUUUAAAGUUUCUUAAUCAUUCAUUUUAAAGUAUUUUUAAAAAAAUUUCCAAUGGAGGAGGGAUGAAAUUUAAGAAAUAGGAAAAGGGAAGCGAGAUUUGGUUCUAGGACCUUUUAAGUCCUAGAUGUAUAAACUAGCUAUGAAGAUAUAUUCGAUGUGUGUUCAACUAAUAGAAAAUGGGAUUUGUAAGGAUUAUUUCCAUAAUAAUUGAUUUUACAUUUUGAUAGCAAAUUGUAGAGAUAUUAGCGAGCCAAAAUUUGUUGAUGCUUUGUGAUUUUGCAGUUAAUAAUAUUAUGUUAUUCAAGAAUUUUUAGAUAAUGUGAAAAUGGUAGAGGGAUCGUAUAAUAGGUAAUAGAUCUUAUGUAGUAAAAUGGACGCAUAGGCAUUUUUUUUUUUUUAAUAUAAGUGAGGGAAGCAUACGUACUUUAUUUGUUGUUGGUAAAUAUGAGGAUAACUGAUUUAGUGGUUACUCAAUUAGUUUAUUAGUUGUAGUAUGUAAUGAGGGUAUUUGUAAAGUUGAAAGAUGAAUAAAAGUAUUCAUUACUUUCAAAUAACUAAUAUUGGAAACAGAUAAAAAGUUUAACAUCCACACAAGUAACUAGUUCUAUUAAUAAUUAACUAAUUUUAACUUCUAAGUUUGUAUUUAUAUGUAUGUAUUUUUAUUUUUAAAUUUCAGGGAAUGGAAAAAUAUUAUAUAAAGAAAAAAAGAGAAAAUUGAGACGAAAAAAGAAUAAAAAAUCAAAAUUUAGGAUAAAUCACCUAUGAAUUUCUUUUGGGGACAAAGUGAAAAUGAGGCCACGGUUUUAUAGGGACAAGUUGGAAAUUAACGCUUCCUCACGAUUUAUGAGAGCAAUUUUAGAAAUUAAGGCAUUAUCUAACAGUCAAAUAUAAUUUUGACAAACAAAGGAGGAAAAGUGUUGAAAAAAUAACUUUAUGGAGCAAACACAAACCUUAAGGGGAUUUGGCCCUUGUUUGAGAUUCCGAUGCUUUUGGUAAAAAAUCACAUUUAGAUGUUAAAAGUAAUUUAAGGCGUUUAGUAAACAUAAUCCCAUAAAAUUAGGAAUGAAACUUUUGGUAUGAAAAGCUUGUAGACACCAAAAUUUUAUUAUGUUAUUUUAUUUGUUCAUUUUCAGUUAAAAUAUAUUUUAUUUUUAUUUAUUUUGUUUCACUUCUAUUUUCGAGAAAAAUCAUUUUAGAAAAAAAAUAAAAAAGGACAGAAAAAGAAAAUUAGAAAGCAAGAAAAGAAAAUUCAUCAAAAUCAUUUUUUUGUAAAAAAAAAAAAUCUGGUCUUUGUCGGUGGGUUUGGGUUUUAUCCCACCGACCGUUUUAUUUUAUUGAGUUUAAGUUUUAUUCCACAAACCUUUUUCAUUUUCUAGAUUUAGGUUUUUUCAGUUACAAUUGAGCUAGACAAAUAAAUAAUUUGGUGUCUACGUCUUUGUCUUGACUUUCUGCGAAACUCAGACAAAAAUGGGCAAGUUGUAGACACCAAAAUUUUAUUAUUUUAUUUGUUCAUUUUUAUUUAAAAUAUAUUUUAUUUUUAUUUAUUUUGUUUCACUUCUAUUUUUGGGAAAAAUCAUUUCAGAAAAAAAUAAAAAAGGACAGAAAAAGAAAAUUAGAAAGCAAGAAAAGAAAAGAAAAAUCAUCAAAAUCAGUUUUUUGUAAAAAAAAAAAAAAAAAAAAAAUCUACAACCCACGCGCGCGCACAGUUCUUCUUCUUCAUCUUGUACCCGUAAACAGUACAAGAUGCCAUGGGAGCAAAUUCUGGUUCGAUUAUUUCCUUUCUUUUUUCCCAAGUUUUGCUGGUACUCACCUUGUGAAAUUUGUCCGGAAUGUCCUGGAACAAGAGCCAUCAAAUGGCUAUAAAAAGGGAACAAAAUAAGGGUUCAUCUUCACCCUUAAAAAGCAGGGUUUUUGUGGCUCCAUUCGAUAUAAAAAGGGGGCUAAGAGAGAACAAAAAGGGAGAGGGAACAAGAGAGGGGCGGCGGAGAUCAGAAAAGGAAAGAAAAAGGGAAGCAAAAAGAGAGAGAAAAAUCGAAGGAGAGAAGAAAGGAAAAUAGCAGAAAACUUCUUGGAAGACUUUGAGCCAGGGUUGAUUACGAGAAAUUUCUAAAAUUAUGAUAAAUUUUAAAAAAAUUCUACAAAGGGGGCAUUUUGAGUAUGGGAUUCCGUCGAGGGGUCUUCGCAUUCAGCAAAUACGAAGUCUCCUUGAAUUUUCGACCAACGAAAUCCAAAAAAAAAAAAAAUCAGACCUCGCAUCUCUUAAAUGUGAUGUCACUGAGAUGCGAGGUCAGUGGAAAGAAACAGAGCAUAGCCAUAUCUUUUAUACUGUUUCUGAGCAAUAGAGCAUAGCCACAAAUUUGAAAGCCAUUUGCCAAGCGAAAAGAAAAUGUGCAGCGCAAAUGGGACACAAAAUUGGUUGGGAAGUCCUGUUGAGGUAGUAAAAGUGGCAAAUUGGGAGAGGGGGAGAGAGGCGCAGCAGGCUAGCUUGGCAGAAAUGGGUUCCAAACAGGGGUUGAAGCUCUACAAUGGUGGAGAGCUUCCGACGAGAAAGAUGUGAGGGAUUCCGUCUGCCGAUCCUAGAAGCUACAAUUCUAUUGUCUAGCUCAGCAAAAGAGAAGAGAGAGUGAGCUCCAAUUUCUGCUGGUUAGGAGCAAAUUCUUUAUAUUUUUCUUAAAAAUGCCCUUUUAUUUGGAAAUUAUUAAUUUAUAAUAGCCCUACUACUCAAUCACCCCCAAUAAGUGUAAAUGAACCUAGAAAGUAGGGUUUCACUUUUCGAUUUCAAGUUAGAGCGAAUUAGGGUUUUCACGUUUUUCCGUAGUGUGACUAUUCGGUAUGGAGUGAGGAACAAAUUUGGUAGGUAAGAGUGACUUUUGGAUGAGGAAAUAUUAUAUGAUUAGAAGUGAUAAUAAUAAGUUAGUGAUUAGAAGGUAAAAACCCUAGUAUACGCAAUUUAAGAAAAAUCGGUUCAAACCGACGGGUAUCGAUCACUACCGAUUGAACCCACCACUUGACCACCACUUCCCUACCACCACAUACCCUUGAUAUUUGUGCAAAAUAUCCCCCCCCCUCAUCCUCAGCCAUAUGGCAAAAAAUUGUGGCCCAAAUGCAAGGAAAAGAAAGCAAAAUUUGGAUGGCUUUGGUGGUGACAAGUGUCGGCCAUCUAUGGCCCUUGACCAACCUUUUUGUCUUGCCUUCUUAUCUCUCAUUUCAGCUCAUUUUCCCUCAUUUUUUUGCUGGUUUGGCCGAGAGCAAGGAGAGGGAAGAGAGUGAGGAGAGUUCUUCAAAUUUUAACCUUGAAUCCAACCUUUUGAGUGCAACCAAGAAAAACUAAACCGAUUAAUCACUAGUUUGGAAGUUUGGGAAGUUUAAGGAACCAAAGAUUUCAAGGAGAGGUGAAGGAUCAUCCUUGCAAGCUUGUGUCUUGAGGUAUAAUGGCUGAUCAACCAUUCUUUCUCCUUUAAUCAUGAUUAAGUUGGGUAUUAAUGUUAGUAUUGUGCUUGUGAUGCUUGUUUCAAGUGAUUUUGAUGAUUAGAUGGAUGACUUUUGAGUUAGGGUUUCUUGUGGGUUAGGUGUUGUAUGAUGUAUAUAUAUGGUAUAUGAUCUUUUAAAGGUGAAAGUAGUGGUAGUUUCAAGGUAAAAAUGAGAAGUAUAGCUUGAAUAUAACAAAAUUCCAGAUUUCUGGAAAUUGUAGCUUCAGUUCUACCUGAUUCUAUUUCAUCAUGUUAGAGGCCGAAUUAGACUUAUUACAAAACAUGAAAGUUGUAGAGAAUGAUAUUUUAUAGUUGCCUACAAAAUUUUAGCUCAAUCGGAACAACGUAGCCUGUAAAAAGAUAAAAAUACCCUGACUGCCCUAGGAGUGAAGUCAGUGGACAGUCUUGACAGUACACUAAGUUGGUUGUGUUUGUUCACCUGGAUACGUACUGAACUAACUUUUAGUCAAAACAUGAAAGUUUUAGUACUUUGUCUUAGCUUUUUAACGCCUCCAAGAACAUCUUAAACGGACUUUGGUAGCUUGAGAUAUGGCCAUUUGAAGGUAGUACGGUUAACUGGCCGGUUAGUUAGAAUUUGUUGUGAAUUGGGAAUUUGACUGGGUUACACUAGAAUUUGGACUAAGUAAUCUUCAUCAAAAUUGUAGCCCUUUGUCUUAGUUUCGAAACGGUAUAAAUUUCAUCCCAAUCCGAUAAGCGCAGCUUCGGUUUUGUCCAUUACGUAAAAUUACGUCAAAUCUGUCUUUUGUUAAACCUCAUUCCCGCACAUGUCGUUAGCUUGAUUUUGUACUUGUAUGACCUUGAGCCUAUUGAACGGCUAUUGUGACGAGCUUAUAUAGUGUAUGACUUUGGUAUUGAUUGAGGAAAAGAAUGAAACCAUAAAGGGCUGGAAAAUAGGAAAAUACAAAGGGCGUGCUGCCCAAAUUUACGCUCAAGGGCUAGGUAGACAUACUUGCAACUUGAGUAAGGGUUAAGAGCGAUCACCACUUGAACUAUCUAGGAUAUUUGCGUCUUCUUUCAUCGAGGUAUAUCAGUGAGAAUUUGGCCGAACUUGUACCCUUGAGAAAUACAAUCAUGACUACUAGGAAUACGUUUUCCUUGUACUUUCGACUCAAAUGGCAUUUCCAAGUAUAAAUGUUAUAAAGUUACAUAGUUUGAAAAGCGAGCGAGUGUUUUACGAAUAUUCUCCAAGUGAAUUUCCAUUUCUUGAUUCUUAUGGAACGAAACGUCUAAGUUUCGAAUCUUAGUCAUGUUUCAAAGUUCUCAAAUUGAGUUUUAUCGUAGAUUUGGACUCCAAACCCGGAGUACAACCUGAAAGUGACAACUAAAGGCACUAUAUCUUUUGGUGAGUGUUUUCAAAUACCGAAUUGAACUUGGUACUUGUAUUUGAGACGUGACCAACGUGAUUACAUGUUAUAUACGUGAAUUGUUAGGGCGAGAGUGUACUUUAUCGCGCUUGUCCUUAUGUGAUAUAUACUUGUUUAUUGUUGCAAUUGAUUUGAUAUACUUGUUUAUGAUGUGCGCACUUCCUGGAAUUCCAAAAACCCUGUGGCGAGUUACUCAAGUCGAGCCGGCAAGGGCUUGGUCGAUUGGGCAACGAACCCUGGGUCUCUUAUUUUGUCGAGUGGAGUGAUAUCUCCUCGACUAAUCGAUAUACUCGAGUAUUACCACCCGUGUUUAUUGAGGAUUUUGGGCCCAGUAGGGGGUGUGAAUGGUGGACGGAGAGUAGUGUAAGUGGUGCUCUACUGGACUGGUUACAUACUUGAAUGUUGACGGAGUGUCAACUAUUACUUGAUCGAGCUCUAGUGAUGCGCUGGGAAUUUGGCUCCUGAGAGCCUUCCGUAUCCUUAUACUUUGGAAUGAUUAUUGCUUAUUGGAUUAUUGAUUCUUCUGAAAAACUUUUACACUCGCUCACUUUGAGAUUUGCUACUUGAAGUGUUAUUGUUCACUCUUAUGAACUUUUGAUGCUCACUAACUUGCUACGUUGAUAUUCGUACUUUUAAAAUGGUCAAUUUGUUAUUUGGAACCUCACUGUGCUUUUAGCUCAUUCCACGCCAUUUGUUUUCCUUACAGGGGGUACGAGCAAGACAUGAGACAUGUACAGACUAGCAUAGUCUAACUGUUUUGAGUUUUGCUUUUGCACUCACGCUAGUACCCGACUAGGGUUGAUUGUACUCGAAAUAUAAACACUUUGAAGUUUUUUGGUGGGUAGAAACUUUGAAUCUGGAUUUGAGCAUUAAUGUAUAUAUUAAGUUGAAGUGGAUGUGUUAUUCAUUUUCUAUGGAUGUACGUUAUUUUGCUUGAGCUAUGAGUGAGUGAGGGAGUGAGUCCUGGCGAGAGCUGGGCAGGCGGUCCGCCGAACCCUUUGGUUCGCCUUAGGGGAAGGUGGGGCCGUCACAAUAGUGUUUGAAGUGAAUUCUUGGGUCAUUUUUUGUAGAAAGGCCAAAGAAGAAAAGUUGAGAAGAGAAGGAUUCAUCAGUGGAUGUUUUGACAAAGCAAGUGGUUCAAGCCGAGGUUAAAUUGAAUCACUGCUUUUGGGGAUAUUUCAGAUUCAGUACCUCGCAUUGAGAAAUGCGAGAUACCUGAGCUCGUAUCUGGCGAAUGCGAGCUUGGUAAGUUCGCAUUUACCAAAUGUGAGCUUCCUUGCUGUUUUUUUACUUUUUCCCAAAAGUUUUCUCUUUUUUGGUGAAACACUGACCUCGCAUUUGUGAAAUGCGAAGAUCAUACUCCUAGAACUAGCUUCAAAAAUUACCACCCUUGUAGAACAACUUUUUUUUUUUUCAUAACAAUUUAAGAAUUUACUCAUUACUCAGCCCUCUUUUUUGCUCAUUAUCAGUUUCAAGGAGGCUUUUCGUGGGAUGAUUUCUUUUUCUGGAAAUCUACGUUGAUUGAGGAGAAGAUUUUGUGUUGGAAAUUUUUAGAAAAAAACCUCUGAAACAUCUCCAAAUCCGGGCUUGAACAUGUUACCUUCAUCAUUCUUAAAGUUUCUGCAUCAAAGUUCCUGGCUUCUAGAUGUGAGCUUUGAAUCCCACUUUUCUCAAUUUCUCUGUGUGUAAACAUCGAAGGUAAUUCUUAAUCUUUCAUUUUCUUGCUGCAAUCCACAAAAGGAAAAAUCUUUAACUCAUCAAAAGAGAACCUUUUUCAGAUUAUGCUUUCAUGAGCUUAUGGAUGCUUUCAUGAGCUUAUGGUGUGGGUUCUAUGGUUUUGCUGGGUCUGAUGUAUCUGGUGUGAAUAACAGAGGAUAAGAUUUGGAAGUAAAUGUAAAUGUUUGUCCUUGAUUAUCUUUGCAAGCCUUGCAGUUCAUAAGCAAAGUUAUGUUUCGGGGUUUUGUUCGGAAUCCAUGAGUGAAAGUUGUCUGCUUUCCUUUCUAUCUGCAAAUCUAGGAUGGGAAAUUUUGAGCCAUUAGUCCCAUGUUGUUCUGUGUUUUGUUUGUGGGGAUGUGGUUCCUAUUGGGUUUAGUUGAUGAUUCCGUGAAUUUGGCUUGAAUGUUGUGGCUGUCUUUUUGAGUUUGAAUAAAUUUCUUGAGUUGCAGAAAGAAAGCUUUCGGUUGCAGAAGAAAGCUUCUUCAAAGCUUUGCAUGCAAAACUUUUAAAAACUGCCUUUUGAUCCUUGACUUUCUAAGUAAUUAUGUUAUGGCCCAAAGUCUUCUGUAAUUGAACCAUUUUUGUCCUUUUAAGUUUUAAUCAUCUCCUUUAUAUUUUAAAUGAGUUUUUUUUGGGUAGAUCAAUCCUGGAUUGUAACACAUAAUUAGUUUUUAAUAAUUUUUUUAGUUGAUUCUGUCUUGCUGGGGUUUGUAAGAAAAUUAAAUAGUGGCUUUGGUUUUAUGUUUGGAUUUUUGGAAAAGGGUUUGAAUUAGUUCUGAUUGGUUUGUCUUGGGCUUGGAAGCCAAAGCCCUUGCAUUUUUUGAUUGGGUUUGUUUGUCAAAAGUGAUGGGCUAGCCUGCAUAUUUUCUUGAGGUUUUCGGCUAGGCUUGGGAAAUUUUCGGCCCAAAAAGAGGAAAAAUGGCCCAUGGCCUUUUGUUAAGAAAAAUCUGGUAACAAAUUUUGCAAACUGGUCUUUAAGUAAUUGUACUAUGGCUUUAAGAACUUUGGUUUUAUUUCAAUUAGAACCCUAUUUUAAUAUCAAUUUGGUCCCUAACUUUAUUUUUCUUUCAUUUUGACCCCUAAGUUUUGUGAAAAAAUUUCUUAAUUUUUUCAAUGAGAUCCCUGACAGUUUUGAUUUCUUAAAUAUAACUUACUUUUCUUCUUUAAUUGUUAAUUAUACUUCAUUCAAGUGCUUUAAUUGGUAGAUUCAUGAUUAUUUUCAUUUGUUUUAUAAUUAAAUUGGCGUCUUAAUUAUUUUGUUGAUUUUGGAGCAUAAUUAGGGCUAAUUUCACCCCAUUUAACCACAACUUCAAGGGAGGUAACCUCUUUUAUUAUUUUAAAUUCUUUUAUGUGCUCCAAUGUAUUUUUAUGUGCAAUUGCAUGUUUUGAGUAUCUUUCUUUUAAUUAUUCAUUCUUAUUCAUUUUAAGUUUUAUUUAUUUAAUUUAAUUUUGAUGAUUAUUUAAGAGGCAUUAAAAUGACAUGUUGUGAUAGAUAGGUGCUCAAGACAUGUAUUUAGCUAGCCUAUGUAAUAGAUAGGUUUUAAUUUUUGUUAAAAAUAUAUUUAGUUAGAUAAAUGUAAUAGUUAGGGUAUUAUUUUUGGAAUUCCCCCCUUAGAUUGUAGUUAGGCCUCGAAUGUAAUAGUUAGACUUUCAUUUGCGUUUAUUUGCUUGUGUGCUUGCAUGUUUGUUUAGGUCACGUAUCUAUAUACUUCAAAAUUCUCCGCAUCUAUUUACUUCAAAAUUUGCUUCAAAAUUUAUUUGCUUGUGUGCUUCCAUUUACAAAAUUAGAAGUAGGUUAGUUCAUUUGCUUGACUAGAUUAGGAGAGUCACCCUUCAAAUAUGGGAAAUGGACACGUAUGACUUCUUAGUCUUAGCACGCUCGUAUCUCUUCUAUAAAAAAGAAAAUUGAGUCAUGAAUCUUAAUCCCCCGUACUUGUUAUGUUGCAUUCUUCUUUUUUAGGUCACGUAUAUUUAUACAUUAUAAUUCUUCUUUUCUUUGAGUCUCAUUUUGCAUAUUCGUGAUCUCUUCUAAGAAUCAUUUUUGAACAUCACAAUUAAUGUGAAUUGUAUCAAUUAAAUUUUGAAAAGAUAUUUCGACCAUCUCGAUAUUCAUUAGGUUUAGGUUCGCAUCGAUAUAAUAACAUCCAAAUGUGAUAAGUUUUAUAGAUUAAAUUAAAAAAAAAUUCGACUAAAUCACGCGACUAACCUUGGCUAGGUUGAAAGGGUGUUUUAGAUCAAAUCUUUGCCUUCGCUUUCUUCAACCGUGACUCCCGAACUCUUUUAUCUUGUUUUCAAAGACCUGGAGUCAUUUAAAAAGGGUUUCACCUAUAUUUUUUUUUAUUGAAAAUAUAUUUUUGGGUGACUUGGUACACCUUAGAUCAAUACCAAGUAUCGACUCCUAUUUUUUCUUAAAAACCUUUUUUAAACUAUUAUUUUGGGUUAAAAUCGUCGCAUUUUUUAAGUCCUAUUUUUCUUUAUUUAUUCUCUGAAAACCAAAAAUUCAUAUUAAUCAAAAAAUUCAUUUUUUAUGACUCGUAAUUUUACUUUUCAAAAAAGGGGCGUGACAAAGCAUUUGUAGCAAAAACUCAAAUUUAAAGCUUUUAGAGUAGCUUUUAUGAUUUAAAAAAAUAAAACAUUAAACAUAAUCAUUUUAUCCUAUAUUAUAAACUAAAUAAAGAUAUAAAUACAUUUAAAAAUUUUCAAAUCACACAUUAUCCAAUAUAGUAAAAACUUAUUAAACUAUGUCUCCAAACAGCAUACUUUUUUUUUUAAGGACUAAACAGCAUAUUUAAAAGCAUUUAACCACUUAAUAAGUACAUUUAUUAAAAGCUUUAUUGAGAAAAUACUUUUCAACAAGCUACAGCAACUCCAAACAGCCCUUAGUUCUAUUAAUCUGAUAAACAAUGAUAACAGUACUUCUCAAAUCACUUCAAAAUUCUCCGCAUCAGAAAUGGCUAUGUCUAUCAUCAAAACAAAGAAAAUGAUCGAUCUAAAGCAUUCGAACACUAAAACUCUUCAUUUGUAGAUCUCCAAAGAGGAUUGACCAAAAGCAUUCAACAAAAAAGGCGAAAAUUAAUAUAUUGCUCAACCAUUAGAACAGUUCAAAUGAUAAGCCACAUUUCCCAAUUUUUCUUCCAUGAUUUUCUUGUAACGUUCUGCCAUGGAAUGAAUAACAAAAUUUGUCCAAUCUCCUACUUUUCCCUUUCUAAAAAAGGAACUAGCCUUAAACUUAGUAGCUGGAGUAUUAACACCACCGUUCUUGUUCCCCUCCAAAUUCCUGAGAUUCUCUAAGCUACAAAGCCUAACAAUUUCCUCAACUACACCAUUUUCAUCUUCCUCUGGAGAAAAAGGAAAUCCCAAAAACUCUGCUAGCUUCUUCACGUGAGAAGUUGCAUCUAUUUUGAGAUCCUCGUACUUGAGAAACAACACCUUUUGAACAUCAUUUAAGCUUGCAUUCCAGUACCCCUCAGCAUGAUCCCAAAAGGGUCCCAACGGGCAUAUGCCUUUGCAAAAUAAUUCAAAAGCUUCAUCAAUGGGAAGUGCUUUUGCUGAUCUUCACCACGAUUUUCAAGCAAAAAGUGUCGGUGAGAAAUGAACUGAUCCAAAGGGUUUCCGCGUAUAUAAAUUGUGCGACGUUUUGUAUUCAAAAUUGAUUUAGGAAGGGCAUGGCAUGGUAGAUGUGUUGAGAAAAUUCUUGGACAUAAGAAGGCCUCAAGAUCAGGUUUUUCACAUUCCAGAAAUAAAUCAUACUCCAGAAAACGUACAAGCUCAUGAGGAUUGGUGGUGAGGCGAGGGCCCUUUAGUAUUGAGUUCUUCUUGCGGUUGAUGAUGCUAAAGCUUAGUGAUUUUAGGCAAGUGGUGCCUGAUUUAGGCAUGGAAGCUAAGAUAACGUCGCGAUCCUUGGCUUUGAAGUUUCUUUGAAAGAAGAUUGUGGAUCUAAGAACUGUUGCUGGAGACCAAAAAUUGUCGUAAUAGCAUUGCCAACGGCCAUCCCAGUUUACUUCUUUAGGAAUUUUUGUAGCAAUUCUUGAAAUUCAUCCAUUUUCUCUAUACCUUUGGUUGAGGAUGAAGGAGCGAAUACUGGCGUUUCUUCCAUGGGAAAGUAAAAUGGAUCGGUAUUAGCAAGUCAGGAUUUCUUUAAUCCAACAACAUCACAUAUCAAAAUUUGUACUAGUUUAAUAAUGGGAUGUUGCGGUGUCACCUCAAUAAUUCCUUAUUCUAUACUUUUCGUUUUGAAAUGUUUUUCAAUCUUUAUAGUCUUGAGAUUGAUAAACAAAAAUACUAUACUUGCUGAUUGAGGGCUAGCCAAAAAGCUUCCUACGUGUACCUCUGUCUUUUGUGAUUUGGGGGCAGAACAGCUUUCCUUGAUUAGAGCUCUAAUCAAGGAAAGAGUUUUUUUUUUUUUGGGAGGGGGUUGGUAUGGUUUGGAUGCGAUUAUAAUACUAGAUCUUAAUAUGAUGCUAGUAUGGCAUGCAACGGAUAAUAAUUUCCUAUAACCUAUGAAUUUUGUAAAUUUUAUGAAUGGUUGUAUUCAGCAUUCUUGGCCCUACUUCUAUGUCAAUAAGUUAAAAAAUAAAUGACUAAAAAUUCUUUUAGCUAAACAAAAGUUAAAGAAAAUUUCAUGUUAUUUAUUUAUUUUUAGUUUUAGUAGUGCUAUACUCUCAACUGUGACCUGCGAAAUGUAGGGCACGUCGUGUGGCCUUGUGGAUAGCUACAAAGCUACCAUAGAAAUAUUAUGAGCCAGCAAAAACCAUAUCUUGGAAUUAAACAUAAAUAGCUCAUGAUACUGUGCUAAUCCCAGGAAAGGCGUUCUUUCUUUUUCUUUUUCCAGGAAAGGUUUACUACAAAACAGAGUACGAUAAAAAAAAUGUUACAAGAAUAUGUUAAUGAUGAUUAUUGUAGGAUAAUAGACAAUCACUUGAGCCAAAAUUAUAAGAACGAAACAGCCAUCCAAUAGAGAAGAAAGCACCUACUAUCAGGAGCGGAAGCAAUUCUAACACAUAUAAAAAUAUGCGUGAAGAGAAUAUGGGUCAAAAAUUGCUUCUGCUAUACGUAUUUUUUUUUGUGCCAACACGUAAUUGGCAGAAAAAAAUAAUUAAGAUUUGGGCUUCGGGUUUGUCAGGAAAUGGAGGGAAAAAAUACACUUUCCAUCCUCAAGGUUUGGCGUGAUGACCAAUUUCUUUCCCAAAGCCUCGCCCCAGGCACAUCGCAUGCUCAAAGCUGCUCAAUUUCGACUGUUUAAGGACAAUUGACAAAGCUCAAAGCAAUUUGGACAAAAAUAGGUCAUGUGAGAUGCAUGCCCAUUAAAUGGGGUGCUUGACCAAAUAAAAGAGGGAUAAAAUCCUUCAAAUCCUCCUAAUUUCUUUUCUUUCUUUACAAGCCAAACUCUAAAAUUUUUUUUUGCAGCAACCAAUUUCUUCCCCCAAACAACAUGAGGACCAAUUGAAAUUGCAACAAGAGUUUGAGAAGUAUAGUGCAAAAAGAAAGAAAAUGAGAGAGCCGAGGCAAAAAAAGAGAGAAAAAGGCUAUAGAUAGCUCGGCAAGUGAGGUAAAAAUUGAGGGAAAACAAAUGCUCCUGAUAAAAGCCAAGAAAGUGAGGAAGUUAAUGAGAGAUGAGCAGCCACUUCUUAUGCUUGUUAGCAAAGAAGUAGCUCUGAAUGUGCAUGAACUUGAUACUAACAUACUCUUGAGGUUAAGUCUCUGUUGCAGGAAUAUGCUGAUAUCUUCCCCGAGGACGUGCCAAGUGGAUUACCACCGCUUAGAGGCAUUGAGCACCAAAUAGACUUCGUCCCUGGAGCUUCGUUGCCAAAUCGGCCAGCUUACAAGAGCAACCCGGAGGAAACUAAGGAGUUACAAAGGCAAGUGGACGACUUGCUUGGCAAAGGAUGGGCACGUGAGAGCUUAAGCCCGUGCGCUGUCCCAGUCAUUUUGGUGCCCAAGAAAGAUGGUACGUGGAGAAUGUGCACUGAUUGUAGGGCCGUAAAUGCCAUCACGGUAAAGUAUCGCCACCCUAUACCUCGCUUAGAUGACAUGCUUGAUGAGUUACAUGGGGCUGUGUUCUUUACCAAAAUUGAUCUAAAAAGUGGGUACCAUCAAAUUAGGAUUAAGGAGGGGGAUGAAUGGAAAACUGCCUUAAAACUAAGUAUGGAUUGUAUGAGUGGUUAGUGAUGCCUUUUGGGCUCACUAAUGCACCUAGCACCUUCAUGAGGUUAAUGAACCAUGUUCUGCGUCCAUUCUUAGGAAAAUUCGUGGUAGUUUACUUUGAUGAUAUCCUAAUUUAUAGCAAAUCUUAUGAUGAACACCUCGAGCAUAUUAGGGCUGUUAUGGAUGUACUUCGACGAGAGCAGCUCUAUGCCAAUCUCAAGAAGUGUAAUUUUUGCACUAAUGAGCUUGUGUUUCUAGGGUUUGUUAUAAGUGCGCAGGGAAUGAAGGUGGAUGAUCAAAAGGUGAAAGCUAUUCAAGAGUGGCCAACACCAAGGUCUGUGGGUGAUGUUCGAAGCUUCCAUGGCCUUGCGGGUUUCUAUAGGAGAUUCGUGAGGGACUUUAGCACUAUUGCUGCACCCUUGACCGAGUUGAUUAAGAAGAAUGAGAACUUCCAUUGGGGAGAUUCUCAAGAACAAGCCUUUCGCGCUUUAAAGCACAAACUCACACAUGCACCUGUACUUGCUUUACCUGACUUUUCUAAGACAUUUGAGAUUGAUUGUGAUGCUUCAGGUAUUGGAGUUGGAGCUGUGUUGAAUCAAGGAGGAAGACCUAUUGCCUACUUUAGUGAGAAACUCAAUGGGGCUGCACUGAACUACUCAACUUAUGAUAAAGAGUUGUACGCCCUCAUUCGAGCACUACAAGUUUGGCAGCACUACUUAAGGCCUAAGGAAUUCGUGAUACACACUGAUCAUGAGUCCCUUAAAUACCUUAAGGCCCAGCACACCUUGAGCAAAAAGCAUGCAAGGUGGAUCGCAUUCGUGGAGUCCUUUCCGUACGUAAUUAAAUAUAAGGCUGGUAAGUCUAAUGUGGUUGCGGAUGCACUCUCACGAAGGUACUCUCUACUCACUUCCUUAGAUGCUAAGUUGUUAGGGUUUGAGCUGAUUAAAGACAUCUAUGCCCAAGAUAGUGAUUUCGGUGAACUUUACCUUUCUUGCAAACACACUGGGCAAGGUAAAUUCUUCAUUUCCGAUGGUUACUUGUUUUAUGCCAAUCGGCUUUGCAUCCCACAUGGAUCCAUCCGCGAACUUUUGGUACGAGAAUCCCAUUCGGGUGGCCUUAUGGGACAUUUUGGGGUUGAUAAGACUCUUGCCAUGCUGCAGGAGCACUUCUAUUGGCCGCACAUGAGGAGAGAUGUUGCACGGGUGGUGGAGCGAUGCUUAGCUUGUAAGAAAGCUAAAUCCAAGGUACACCCGUAUGGCCUUUACACCCCGUUACCUAUUUCUAGUGCACCAUGGGUCGAUAUUUCUAUGGAUUUUAUACUUGGUUUGCCUAGAUCCAAGUAUGGCCAUGACUCCAUUUAUGUGGUAGUUGAUAGAUUCUCUAAAAUGGCACACUUCAUUGCAUGUCAUAAAACUGAUGAUGCAUCUCAUAUUGCUAACUUAUUCUUUAAAGAGAUUGUGAGAUUGCAUGGCAUUCCUAGGACCAUUGUCUCAGACAGAGAUGUCAAAUUUCUGAGCUAUUUUUGGAAGACACUCUGGUCUAAGUUAGGCACCAAAUUGCUAUUCUCUACUGCCAGCCACCCCCAAACUGAUGGUCAAACUGAGGUGGUAAAUCGUACAUUAGGUACCUUGUUGCGUGCCAUCAUCAAAAAGAACUUGAAAUCAUGGGAAGAAUGUUUACCUCAUGUUGAGUUUGCUUAUAAUAGGGCUAUCCAUUCUACUACUGGUUUCUCUCCAUUUGAAUGUGCUUAUGGUUUUAAUCCACUAACACCACUUGAUCUAGUGCCAUUACCUAGUAAUGAGCGCGCACAUUUGGAUGGUAAGAAACGUGCAGAGUUUGUUAAGCAACUGCAUGAGAAAGUCAGGGCUAACAUUGAGAGGAGAACUGCUCAAUAUGUCAAGCAAGCUAACAAAGGUCGCCAAAAGUUGAUUUUUGAGCCUGGCGAUUGGGUGUGGUUGCACAUGCGCAAAGAACGCUUUCCUGUUCAAAGGAGGAACAAAUUACAACCACGGGGUGAUGGACCUUUUCAAGUGUUGGAGCGCAUCAAUGACAACGCCUACAAACUUGACCUUCCUGGUGAGUAUGGAGUUAGUGCUACAUUUAAUGUCUCUGACUUAGCUCCUUUUGAUGCAGAUGAUGCGUUUGAUUUGAGGGCAAAUCCUUCUCAAGAGGAGGGGAAUGAUAGCAUCAUGGUACGUGGGCAGGCCAACAAUGGCUCGGGUAAUCGAGGAGCUGAGGAUCACGUGCUCGCCCCAAGUGGACCCAUUACUAGGGCUCGCGCAAAGAAACUUCGUGAGCAACUCAAUGUACUUAUUCAGGCCAUACACAAGUCCUUUGAAGGAUUCAUGCAUUCAAGUGAAGGUGGUCGCGGUCCGAUAAUGAGCAUUGAAGCUACACCCGAGGAUUAGGGUUUUGCCAAACCCUAAUUUCCGUUUUAGCAUCAUAGUUAGUUAUUUCCACAUUAGUUGAUUAGAUUGAAUAAUUGGCUAAGUGCAUAUCGCACGUAGAAUCGCCAAGGGUAGGAUUGCUAAUUUACUCAUUAUUAUUUGCUAGAGUGGGCUGCCUAGGAAGGAAAGCCCACGUGAGGCCCAACCCGUCGGGGGUUAAGCCUCCUUUAUUAGGGCCCAUAUCCACUGCGCCCUUAGUCCAUUUUCUACUAGAUUAGGGUUUUCACUUGUAGCCUAUAUAAGGCACCAUAUUACAUCAAUAAAGGGUAGACACUUUUAUGAUAAAAAUAUUGAGAGAGUUUUCUCCAUAGCUUUCGAGCAAACCUUGAACAACUUAGAGUUAUACUCUAGUGUUCUUGUUCGGCUUAUCAAUUCAAGAAUCGCACUUGAAUUGUGGCGCCUUCUACACUUGCCUGAGGUUCACUAAUUCGUUUGAUUACGGGUUGAGAUAAUAUCAACAAGUUCGUAGUCACGGGAUUAGAGGGGUCGUAGGGUUUCCGCUGCUACCGUUCUUGCGUUCGAAGUCAAAUCCAACAAGAGAUCUUGGGUCGCGAAUCUUCUCACCAACGAGAUUCGUAUCAUCUUGGGUCUUCCUGGUGCUCUUCCAUAUGUUGGUGGGAGUGGGGGCUAGAUAUUCAUAUCUGCCCAAUCUUGCUCUCCAUGAAGAGGUAGUAUGCAGGGCUCAUAACACUUGAGAUAAGUGUGCACUCUAUAGUAGUCAUCAACAUACUCCAUUGGAUCCUUCAUUGCAAUCCAAUGUGCUGAAAUUGCAUGAUAGCAAGGUAUCCCUGUCAAGUCCCAUUUCUUACAAGAGCAUGUCUUCUCUUCAAUGUUAACUGCAUACUUUUCACCAUAGGGAUCAGCAACUUCAUAAUUAAUUUCAUUGGAUUUUUAAGGCACACAGUAAGUUGCCUUAUCUAUGUUCUCCUUCAUUCUUUUCCUGAUUUUUGGGCAGAUUGCAAAUUUGCUCCAUUUUUCUCUGGCUCUAUCUCUGUUUUCCUGCAUUCUUGACAUCAUAAAAUAUCUCAAUGACUCCAUCAUUGCAACAAUUGACUCCUCUCUAGCAUCCAAGAUCUUGCUGUUGAAGGAUUCACAUAUGUUAUUCAGCAACAUAUCACACUUUGGGUAAGUGCUGAAGUGUGAUCUACUCCACUCUGCCAGAUCCUUGUCAUCUAACCACUUAGCUGCUUCAGCAUCAAGUUCAACAAUUGCCUCCAUUCUUCUUCUGAAUUGAAUUGGAGUAGUUGCCUUAGCUGCUUUCCACAGAGCUUUCCUCAUUGCCGCCUCUUUGAACCCAGCAGAUGACAUGUUACUAUGCAUAUGUUUAAUACAGAAUCUGUGGGUUGCAUUCGAAAAAACUGUUUCACAUGCUUGGAUUAUUCCCUUUUGCUUAUCACUCAUUAUUGUCCACUCAUAGUCCCUUUCAAUUUUCAAAUCUUCCUUGAGUAAUGUUAGAAACCAAAUCCAAGAAUCUUUGGUUUCUCCCUUAGUUGCUGCGUAAGCUAUAGGAUACAUUCCAUUAUUAGCAUCAACUCCAACUGCUGUCAAUAGUACACCCCCUGCUAAACCUUUGAGAAAAGUUCCAUCCAAUCCAAACACAUGCCUACAAGCUGCUAAGAACCCCUGUUUUACUCUAACAAAGCACAUGUAUAAUCUCUGAAAUUUGCCCUGUCCAGUUACUGCAUCACAAUAGUCAUCUACCAACUUCAUAAUUACUAUGCUACCUAGAUUAUUUCUCUCAAUUUCAUUGAUAUAUUGAGGCAGUUUAUUAUAUUGAUCCAUCUCACUAUCUUUGGCCAAAUUCUCUGCAAUUUUCUUAGCUCUAUAGCCUUGAUGUCUACUAAGAUGACAUUUGUGCUCUUUCAUUACCAGAUUUUUGAAACUAACAUAGUCCAACUUGGGUUCUCCCUAAAUAUGCCAACAUAUCUUCUUCCUACCCACCCAGACUUCACACUUUUGUUGUGGUAUGAAAAUCCACAUUUGUGCUUCUUUUGAAAUGUUCUAACUUCCAAUCUGUCAUCCCUUUUCAUCCUCCUAGCAUUUAUGCACCAAUCACAGCCAUCUUUAGGACAUAUUGCUCUAACUCUUAUGCUAUCACUCUUGACAAUUUAAAUGAUCUCCCUCUCCUAAUGUUCCAGGUUCUAAUUGCUUCUUUCAACUCCUUGAAGGAAGAAAAUAUUUGUCUAAGUUUAAUUUUGGAGUUAUUUUCAUCCUUGGGAUCAAACACAGGGGGUCUAAAGCUUUUGUCUUCAUCCAACCUUGUAUCACUACCAAUAUCAGUAGCUGAAUCUGGGGCAGCAUCUACAUCAGAAUUGUCAUCAUCACUUUCAGUAUCACUAGGCAUUUGUUUCCUAAGCAUGUGGCUCAUCCUAGCAUCCGUAGAGCUUUUUUUAAGGUGCUUAUUCAGCUGCUCUUGUUUUCUAUUUCUACUCCUAACCAUUCAGAAUCUUUAUCAACAUUUUCAUCAUAAUCAUUAUCAUCUAAAUUUUGAUCAUAAUCCGAGUCUUCUCUUGAGAAUCCCCCAAAUCAGAACCUGAACUAGCCAUAUAUUCAUCAUCCUCUUCAUCUUCUAACACAAAGUCUCCAUCCUCAAUGUCAGACCCCCAUUGUGAUGCUAGAAUAUCAUUAAAGGAAACCUCUACAUACAAAUCAACCACCCUACCAUGGUCAAAAUGAUCAGCACAAUAUGCAUGCAAUUCUCUAUCAUGUCUUAACAAACGAAAUCCAUGUUCCUCGAUUAGGAUAUGGUACUUUUUGUCACCAACAGCUUGAAGUUGAUUUUCUAGCAUUCUAUCCAUUUCAAAUAGACUAAUGCCUAUGGCAUCUACAUGAUAAAAAUCCUUAAUUCUCCUCCCUCAUAAUGCACAUCAGGUUCAGUUUCAAUUUUCCCCAUUAUAACACUUCAUAGUCACUUCAGUGCUAUCACUGUCUGAAUUUAGGGACAAAAAAAAAAGAAACAAACACAAAUAAACAAGUACCAAAAGUGACAAACUAGAUUAUAUAAAACAAGUAAUUUGCACUCAAUCAGCUUCAAGGACCACAAAAGCAUGUUACCGAGUCUUCCUACCCACCCAACAUUGUCUACCAUGACAACUCACACCAGAGAGACAUACGACCACAUACAAUGGUAGACAAGAAAUAUUUUAGGCUUUGUCAGAAUGUCUUAAAAAUCCAAAAUUUAAGACAUUCUUUGUCUCCCAAGUGAAAAUCUCACCCAAAAUCAUCACAUUCUUAGAAUAUAAGCAUGAAUUAAGCAUGUGUAAUGCUACCUAAGGUAAAAAUCACAUACCGUAAUCUGGUGGCGGUGCUCCAUUCAUUUCUUUUGGUCUUAGUGCCAUUUCCUCCUCCCAGACUCACAAACAACUCCACUAUCACCGAGUUCUUCAAGAUUUUGCUUUCGAUUUGCUAGUUUUAUUCACAAUGUUAGGUCUGGGUUUUUGUUGGAGUUUCUGGAGACCGAAGAGAAAAAGGGGGGACAAUUAGUGUGUUUUGUCUUUGCUAAUUAAAAAGUGGCACCAAAAGGCUGGAAAUAAUUUUUUAUGGGUUUUCACGCAAAAAAUUGAGAAAAGAUUUUAACUGCCAACACAUGCUCUCACGUGACUUGUUUCCCGCAAAAAAUGAAGAAAACUAGUCAAUUGUCCACUUUCGAGCAAAAUUGGAUUGAUUGGGACCGCAUUUGUUCUCCCCAAUAGAUUGGGACUAGUUUCGCGCGUUUGUAAUACAUUGGGGAUCAAAACUCCAAUUCUCCCUAUUUUCCAUGUGGACUAGAUUAGGUGGAGUUAAUGAUCUUAGAGGUUGUAGUCCAACCAAAAAUUGCUCAGGAAACAGCAAAAUUUCCUAAAACACUCAUUUAUGUGAUUAACUUUUACAGAAUAAUGUAGCUGCACCUCUACUAGUUGUUCUCAAAUAAUUUUGUACAUUUACCAAAUUUUUUGGGGCAAACAAGUAGUUUAUAGCUAUCUAAUACUAUUACAUUUUCCUAGUGUCAUUGUCACAGGCACUGUCCAUUAAUAAGCCAUAACAUUCACAAGUCUGCAAAAGUCGGACUAUUGCAAAUUGGAAGUUGAGGCACAAAGCACCACAUGCAUUGUAGUUUGGGAAGAAUUGAGAAAUGCUAUGUGAUCGCUAAAGUUUUGACAAUGCAGUAAAAUAGAACAAAAAGUUUCAACAGAAAUGAAAAUAGUUACCAAUUUUAACCAAAACAGAACAAUUGCCAGAAUCUGAACAACUGCUAAUGGUACAUGAAACUCAUAAGAAAUUUACCCGGAUGUUAGUAAGAACAAUAACUUAAAACAUAUUUGAUUGUUACCUUUAUGAACAGAUUCCACCUCGCGCCUUUCCUGACACCACAAGGAUCUCUGCAAGUGAGAAACUUUAGAAAAACAAAAAUGUGCUUACCAUAUUAAGAGUGGAAAAUCAGGUUCGAUAGCAACUAGCAAAGAUGUCCCAGCAGAGUUUGGAGUUAGUCCUAAGAUGGAUCUCAGAUGAGUAUUUCUUCGUGAAUCUUUCCUUUUCUUGCUCAAGUAUCCUGCGCAUCGCAUUUCUUCAAUUGUAUGCUUUAUGAUCAUUCAAAUGCACUUCUAAUCAUGAAAAAAUCAUCCAAACUUCUACUCGCUUUAAUCUGAUUGAUAAUUGAACCAAUCAAUCUGAUAAAACAUGAAGUUUUGACUAUUUAAAUUCAUAGAAAUGUAAUGUUUCUCACUUUAAUUACAAAAAGCAAAUUUUAACUAAAAUUUAUUGGACUCAAACUUGAAUAAAAACACACUAAAACACACAUAAAUAACCACACACAGAUAUGCAAAACAAGCACUUACCAAUGGAUGUAGAAAAAGUAUCACAAGGCAGCAUAUUAAGGAAAUGCUUGUUAAAUCUUCAAAAAAAAGAAAAUCAAAGAAAAGCUUUAUUUAAUUUUAAGGAUAUAUCGAAAAGGACUAAGAAAUUUACUACUUUCUUAGGCAGCAUAUAUUCACUCAGAUUUUGUCCUUCCUUGGUCAAUAAAGAAAACAGAGUUCACCAUGCCAGUUAACUUUUUGUGUAUGCGGGUUGCUAAAAGACAUCUAUGCCCAGUUACUUAUUCUAUUGCCAAUUUUACACUUGUGGGGCCAAAUAAUGUCCAAUUUUCCUCUUUCUUUCUUACUUAUCCUUAUUAAUGAAUUCGUUUCAUUUUCCAAUGCAUAAGGCUAUAUUUUAGUGAAAAAAGUAUGUGAGUAACAUUACAAAUCGGAUAUAUACAUAUAUAUUUUAUAUAUAUAUAUAUAUAUAUAUAUAUAUAUAUAUUCAGAAAAAGUAUUUUAAGCUUUUCUAGUUUUAUUUACAAUUCUUCAUUCUUCAUUCAUUGUUAUUAAAGUAAAUAUUGUUUACUCAGUAAAAUAUUAUAUUUUUCUUUUUCUUUCUUUUCUUCUAUAUCCUUAUUAACAAUUUCUUUUCAUGCUUAAAGAAAAUUUCUUUAUUGCUAUAAUAAAUUUGUAUAAUUGGUUUAUGUAAUUUCUAUUUUUGUUGAAAAUUAAUGCAUCACUAAGAACUUGGAAAUUACAUUUUAAAAAGGAAGAAAUACUACCAUGCAUUAAUUGUAAUAAAAAAUAACAAUGACAUAAGCUACACUAAAAAUGAGAAAAUAAGCUAUAGCAAGUCAAAAGUGUAUUCUAAGUUAUUACAUAUUAUGACAAGCUAAAAGCCACUGGUGGCGUCAAAGAUUGAAGAAAAGGGGUAAACGAUGCAGAAGGAAGAAAAGUUAAGAAGCAUGAAAAUGAAACUUGAAGCGUUUACUUUACCGCUGGUUAACUAUUCAAAGAACUUAUAGUAAUUAAGGAGCAUUCUGCGUACUUCGUGAAUACAAAGGUAUACUGCUACUAACAACAUUUUUCUUCACUUGUUUGAAUUUACAGGCUAAGUUUUGAAUCCUAGAUUUCCUUGAGCAAUUGAAAAGCAAGAGGCAAAUUUUAUAAAUAUGAAAGUUUCUCAUCCUAAAUCGAGGGUUAAAGCUGAAAUUUUUUUAUUGUUUUUGUCUAUUCUUUAAUUGGAAACACAUAUGCUCCGCAUUCAUUCUUGACGUGACUAACCCUAAAAAUGUUUCCAAGUGUCACAUUAAAUUUCAAACCCGAAAACCUUUGUCGGAAGGAUGGGGCACAGCGGCCUAAACGAAGGAUUAGGUUAAUUUUGCAUAUCUUCUAGGGAAUGUGGCAAAUUUGAUUCUAGUUUAUGCACAUAUGAAAUUUAUAAUUAGGUAGGUAGUAUGCAUAUCUGAAUAUUGAUUGAUCUUUACCACAUAAUCAAUUAAUCAGGAGAUGUUUUUUAAGCUACGCAUCCAACAAAAGUAGAACGUCACUUGAUUUACCACUUUCACCAUGCAGGUACUAAUAUUUUGCCUAUAUUCAUAUUCUCAUAUCUCUUUCGGGAACCUAUGUCUUUGAUUGAUGGAUUCUUGCCGCGUUGAAAUUUACCUGAUUUGAUUGUUAUCCCCUUUUUUUCAUAUAUAAAGAGCUAAAGAAAUUUAUUACGAAGAAAGUAAAUCCACAUGAAAAGCGGAAAAAAAAUUUUUAUCCUAGCUGCCGUAGCCAAACCCUGAAAAAUUCUUCCCAAGCCAAGCUACUCUAUUUGCUUGUGAGCCCAAAAUAACAUGGUAAAUUUUUGAAUUAAUUAAUUUAGGUCUAAUAACACAUACUCUCUUCAAAAUUACAUGUACUUUUAGUUGUCCCCUUUAUAGUCCAAUUGCAGUGUUUCUAAUAAGAAAGCACUUUUAGGUGCUAAAAGUGCUUUUGAAGCAUUUGAUUAACAUCAUUCAUAAAAUUAGGAGUGAAAUUUUUGGUAUAAAAAAUACUGCAAAAACUCAAAUUUGGUGCUUUCAGAUUAACUUUUGUAUUUUCAAAAAUAAAACAUUAAAUUUGAUCAUUUUAUCCAAUAUUAUGAACUAAAUAAAGAGAUAAAUAUAUUUAAAAAUUUUCAAGUUACACAUUAUCUAAUACAAUGAGUACUUAUUGAACUAUGUAUCCAAGUAAUGUACUUAAAAACACUUAAGUACUUAAUAAAUGCUUUUAUUAAAAACUGAAGUACUUUUCAAUAAGCUACUUCAAUUCCAAACAUGCCUCAAUCCAAUACAGUUAACCAAGUAGUCCAAAAUCGAACAUUAUUUCAUUAUAAAACAAGCAUCUCGUUUCAAUAAAGAGUAAAUAAGCCUUUGAAUAAGCAAUAAUUAGUAAAUAUACGUAGAAAAAUUGUGUAAUUGAGGUGAUAUGUGUCAAAAAAUUGUUGACUAUAUUUAGCACAUGUUUGAGAUGUCAUUUUGAUAUAUGUGGCAACAAACUAGUCGAUAUCAUUGAGUGCAUCUAUAUUUAUCUUUUGUAAAAAUGCAUUUUACAUGGUUGUGUCGAUUUCAAUGGUUGAUUCCUAGGUUGGUUGGAAAAAUUUAGAAUGUUUUACAGCUGAUUAAGCCAAGUGGUCAUUGAAGACUACCAAGUGAGAAAAAAAUUGUUUUUGAAGGGCUAUGUGUGUCAUUACCUUGGUCGCCGAUCACAACAACAUUCAUUAUGAUGAACAGAAGAAUAGUGGAAUCUGAGAAACCACUUGAAUAAUCAAGUUUUAAGUGUAACUAUCCAAUUAGUCUCACCUUUUAGUGUCACAAUCAAUGAUUAAUUAAACUCAACUCCUAACCAUGUUUAGAGACAUAAAGAUGUGGUGCAUUAAUGUGGGUCACUCAAAGCAUCCGUAAUUUAGCUUUGUCUAUAAAGUUAAUGCUUCUUAAUUGGAAUGACAUAUUUGCUUUUUGUGAAAAGACAAGUGCAUAUGUUCAGAUGUUUAUCUGAUUGAGUUGCAGUUUUGCUUCUCAUUGUAUGACCUAUGUGCAUUAGCCCGUAAAGUUUUGGCCUUUCAAAAUGUGGCCCCUAACGUUUUGAAUUUUAUGCCAAUUUAGGACAAUUGAUGGAAAAUCAGAAUAGCUAAUGGUCAAAUCAACUUGACGUUAGUAAAAAAUUUUGUCUUUGCAUUUUUUAUCCCUAAUGUUGGAGUUUUAAUCAAUAUAGCCUCUUAAGUUUCAAAUAUUGAUAUUAAAGGUUUUAAGAUGAAACAAUAUGUGAAUUACAUUGAAAUUGCAUUAGUUGUGUGCUAGAAAUUCUAAUAAUAAUAACUUUGAAUAGCUAAUUAAAUUUUGUUUCUUUUGUCAUUCAAAGAAGGAAACAAAUAAAGAAAUUAUUAAGAAAAAAUUUUUAAAAAAAACUUUUUCAAGCAAUUUAUCUUAGUCGUUUUUGUUUUUAUUUAAUGAAUAUAAAAUAAUAGAACAAAAAUAAAUUUGAUAAAAAGAAAAAGAUAACUCCCUUCCAAUGCAUGAGACUGGUUUGCUGAGAUAGUGUACUGUGCUACAAAUUGGUGGUAGAAAUAUGCAACUCCUCGAAAGAUCAUUACUCCUUCAACUGGAUUAGGAAUAGUGCAUGUCAUAAAAACCUUCACUUUACCUUGGUUAACCUGCAUAGGACAGUGAACACUAAACAAAGCAAAGUUAAAAUUGUUAGUAGACAAAUAAUUACUCUCACUAAUUCUCUCAAUUUUUACAAUCAUACUCUCUAUCUCAAGAGAACUCUCGCUCAUGUUUUCACUCAAGCACAAUGCACUCUCUUUUUCAUUAUCACUUUUCUCAACUUUUACUUCAUGUACAUUUACACUUUGUAUAUUACUGUGCUCACUCUCAACUCCUCCUCCCAAUUCCGCAACUUCAAUGAUAAUUUCUUCAAGUUCAAAUUCACUUUGGAUGGAUUUAGACGGAUUUCCCCUAGCAUUGACUUCCACAACGUCCAAGUUAGAAGAUGACUAAUUAUUGCAUUCAGCUUUCAUCUUUACUUGCUUCUCAAGUAGUAGGCGUUGGUAGAUAACCCACCAUGACUCCUUAUGUGGUUCAUUCUUAGAUUUAGGCAUGGAAGUUGUCUGAUAGACUUCUUCUUUCCUUCUUCGAAGUUGCCUUUCAAUUUUAAUCGAAAUACUUACCACAUCCCACAACUUCAUAUGAGGUAGUACUUCAAUAUGAUUAGCAAUCUUCCUUUUCAAUCCACUCAAAAAUUGGUCAAUAGUAGUGUCUAGAUUUCUUCAAUCUCAGCUUGUUUUAUUAUUAACUCCAUCUCUUCAAAAUACUUAAUCACGGUUUUAGAGCCUUGAUUAAAUGAGUGAAAUUUUUGCAACAACUCUCCAAAGAAAGUAGGAGCAUAUCUCUUAAGCAUUAUCCUCUUCAAUACACUCCAAGUGGCAAUUGAUGAUAGACCACAUAAUCGACGUUCUUUCACAAAUUGAUUCCACCAUGUUAAAGUAUAAUGAUUAAAAGCAUGGAUAGCCAAUUUUACCUUCUCCUUUUCAAUAUAAGAUUGAUGUCCAAAGAAACAUUCCACUUUCUUUACCCAUGUUAAGCAUGUAUCUUUAAGACCGCUGAAAAAUGGUAUAGAUAUUUUAAAGUUAAAAAAACCAACUCCUCGAUAUUCUCUUAAUUCCUCCUCAUGACAUCACCAAUCAUGAAUGCAGUAAGGUCCUCCACUUAAAUAUCUAGAGGUGGAUCUCUCCAUUCAAUCAAAAGUUUGUAUGUGAAUCUGCAAGAAUGGUUAGUGACAAGAAAGAAAUUUCCUCACAAUACUCUCUUAUGUGUAUCCAAUCACUCUUGUGUUUACACUCAAGUAAGCAUGCUCUAUUAAUCUCACCACUCUUUCAAGUCCUUCAUCAACCCUUGAGACAAAUUGAAUUUGCUCACGAUGAUUAAGAAGGUUUAACAAUUCAAUCAACGUAGUGGCAAUGGCUAGGAGUAUAAGAUGAAUGACUGUGACUUGAUGAGAUUUGAUUAAAAUAAACUUGAAAAUAACUCAAAAGAUGGACGGAAUUAGGCAAGAAUAGAAGAAACAAUUGGCUAAUUAAUAAAACAAUGACUCGGCAGAAAUUUGGAAACUUAGAGACUCUACACAAUCGUACUUGGUUAGAAUUUGAAAGUUUAGUUGAUUGAUUUUUGGAUUCAUUUUGGAAAGCAAAUUGCUGUUUUAAGAAGCUCUCGUAAGUGUGAUUCAAGUGGCUUAACAAACCAAAUUGGACAAGAAUUUAUGUAACCAGAUUUUGGCAACAAUCCAAGUCAAAUUAGAUUUCAAAUUCAAGACUAUUUCUUGUUUUGAAAUUCAAGACUAUAGUCCAUUCAAGAGCUUGUUCAUUUCUUCUUUUCUUUCUCUCUCUUUUUUUACGGAUUGAUUUCUUUCUCUUAUUUUUUUUUCUUUUUCCAUAGAUCAAAUCAAGAAACAUUUAAAAGAUGAACUAGGGUUUCAAGAAUUUCAAGAUUUUGAAAUUUUGAUUCAGGAUUUCCAAGAAUCCAACUAUGCAAUCCAACAAUUUCAAGAAAACACCAACCAACUACAAGAGACAAACAUAAGCUAUGAAUUUACUUUGUUUCGGAUGAACAGUAAUUGCUACAGUAUGAUAAAUAGUAAACGCAAUAGUAACAAUGUUACAGUACCUGAUGAACAGUAACGAUGCUAUAGUAUGAAUUUGUUUUACUCAAUAAAACACAAAAAAUGUCUUGGCAAGAAACAAGAAUUGAAUGAAUGAUAACAAAGGUGAUCACAUGAAAUUCAAACCCUAGAACGAUGAAUAGACUCUUUUUUGUAAUUGGAUAGGAUUUGGUAAAAGAAUAAAAAUGAAAACAAGAAAAGAAAAAGAUAUUAAUCUGGAUCAAGGUCGAAACUUUGAUAUCAACUGAUGCAAAUUCGAAUUCCCAAACUCCCGCUCUUGAAGAAAUGAAUUGAACAUGCAACGAAAAGAUCUAUUUUGAACAAGUUAUAGAACGAAACUGAUGAAAAACCUCGACUCCUCUAACCUCUAAAGUUAUAAAUCUUGAAUUUAAUCAUGACCCACAACUUAACAAAUUAGCAAAUCAAGACUUGUUAGUAGAAUCCACAAUUCAAUUUUGAAUUGAUAAGCCAAAACUUGAACAAAGAAAACACGACUCACUUUGUAUCAAGGAACGUUCCCAAGGAACAAGAAAGAGAAAACUCUCAAAUUUUAUUCAUCAUUUGGAUUUUGAAAAGUUGCAUAAGGUUGGCUAUUUUUAGCCUUACAUGACUCAAAAUUCUAAACAAAUUUGAAAACAAUUAACUACUUUCCUAAAAUCCUAAUUCGACUCAAUUUUGGUCAUAUGACCUAGCCUCUUUCCAACUAAUGACUUAACUUAGACUCCAAACUAACUCUAAUUAACAACUAACAUUGCUGGAAACUCAAUUAAAUAAACAACAAUAAGAAAUAAUCAAGACAUGGACUUAGAUUUGCAAUGAUUCUUGAGGGCGAUUGCACCAUCAACCAUCAUUAGAAUGUGAAGACUUGUAAAAUGAAUUUCCUUGAACUUGUAGGAGAUCCGGAUCUUCAUGUUCUCAUCGGUUUGAUUUGUCUAAAUAUUGGUUAAACUAUUAAGAAGAUAGUUUUGUCAAUUACAUGCGUUGAU
RNAcentral lists this long non-coding RNA (65956 nucleotides) under Coffea arabica (coffee). RNAcentral's name for it is "long non-coding RNA (CARA_LNC005692)". Lineage: Eukaryota; Viridiplantae; Streptophyta; Magnoliopsida; Gentianales; Rubiaceae. The record is from RNAcentral.